GACACAAACCUCCUUCCGAGGCCUCAUCUCUUCUUCAUUCUGGGGCCUACUGCUGCUGUUGUGUGGAUUCAGCUGCUUAUGCUUUCCCUCCAGUAGAAUCAGAUUUUGCUUGUGAUGCUGCCAUUGCUACAACUUCGCCAGGAGGUGGGUGGUCAAAUCUGCAGGAUGCGCCAUACUUGCGUGUGCCAGUUUUAAGGUAGUACACACAUAUAACAACACCCUGUAAAAAAGCUCCACCCUAGUUUUAAGAUUUCAUCAUAAAAGAACAGAUAUAGUAAAAUGCUAUGCAAUAGAAAACCCUGUCACUUCUCCCUGGAAAAAAAAGGUUUCGACUGCUAACAUUCCAAUUCUCCACUCACUAUCCGACUAUCGUGCUAACCGUAUACUCAUAGUAUUCAUAGCUUUACGAGAUAAGUGCAAUAGGCGCAUGCUGAUUCAAAGACUUAGCACAAUGUAAUCAUUCUUAUUAGGAAUAGGCGCAUGCUUUUCAAGUUUUAUGGAAUAUACUGGUACCCUGCUUAAAACAAGGAUUUGUUAACCCUACUGAUAAAAAGACGGGAUGAUCCCAAUAGAGUAUAGCUCCACCAUUCGUACCUCUCUCCUAGUAGGGAUGGCAAUAAUCCCCAGCGGGUAGGGUACCUACGGGUAUUCGACCCUAAAGGGAAAAAUAUACGUACGGGGAUAAAUGGGUAACGGGGAUGAAGAUCUUCAGUAUUUGGAUUCUUAAAUCGGGUACAGAGAGGGUAUAGUAUUUUGAUAUUCAUCCCCAUCCCCACCCAUUAAAGAUGUAAAUAUUUUUAUAUAUAAUUAUAUAAUUUAUUAUUAUAUAUAAUAUAUAAUUUAUAAAUAGAUAUUUAUUAUGAUUCUCUUAAAAAACUUGUAUUUAUUUUUAUUGGAUUGAAGCAUGAAACUUAUUUAUUUUGGUAUUUGAUUUUAAUUUCAUAUUUCUAUAUUUCGUAUUUUUAAAAAAAAAUAAUAAUAAUUUAAUACAUAAUUGUUAACGGGGAUCGGGACGGGGAUGAAAAUGUAAUCCUCAAAGGGUAUGAGUACGAGGAAUCCCCAUUAUUUAAUUACGGAGAUGGGACGGGAAAUUUAAAAAGAUAUGGGUAUGGUAUUUUAAUCCCCUUACCCUAUCAUACUAUUGUCAUCCCUAUCACCUAGGUAGUCCAGCUAGUGUUAGCUUCACAUUUUCAUAUACAGUAAUACACUAAUAUAGAGCCUUGUUAGGAAUUUCAAUCAAGGCUGGGGUUUCCUCAUACUGUACCAAUACUAAGAUCACUUAACCAAUAAUCCGAUAUAUUUUGAGGUGAAUUUUUGGAUUGACUGCAGGCAUAAGAUUAAUUACUGAAAUCAGUAGAUAUUCCAAGUCAUUUUACAAGUUUUGAAUACAUCGAACUAACAUUAAAUACCCAAAAAUCGAACUAACAUUAAAUACCCAAAAACUGAAGUGAAAAAUGGUGUCCAGGUAUUCCAAAGUCAUCAACGACCCCGUUUUACAAGUUUCCAAGUCCACUCAAAGCCUUUUAGGUACUUUCUGAUAGACCGAGACUUAGUUUCCCAAAGCACCAACAGUAUGAUUCAGACCAAGCUAGUACUAGUGUUAUCAAUUGUUACGAAAGUUCUUCCAAAAGGGAUACUGGAAUUGACAUCCAAGGGUGACUACAGCUCAAGUAAUUGCUAAGUUGGAAUCGGUGAGAUAAUUAUCGGGAAACAAUUGUAUCUUGCUAGUCAUGUGGAUGAUAUGAACCGCAAACACUUCAAAAAAAAUUGAAAUUAUGAAGAUUGGGGAGUAGUUUAUGAACUAACUGUGGAAGAUUCCUGGAAGAGGCAGGUCGGUGGGAGGUCACUGAUCAGACUAAUUACGAGAGAGGAAAAUGUCUUGUGCUCUGCAACUUGUUCGGAGGAACUUGCUUAUGUCCUUUUCUGUAUUAGCAGUGGUCCCUAGCAAGAAAUAUGACUUAAGGUCACGAUUGGCGGCAAAUUUGACUCUAACUGUUCUUAAGGCCUUGAUAUAGCUACGAUUUUGAGUACAUGCCUUUGGCUCUAGUGGUAUGGGAUGAACGAACAAUACAGUAUAAUACAGUACAAAGAAAUCAAAUAAAAAGCAGAGGGAAUGAUACCUGAGCGAGGGAGCAGCAAUUGCGCUCACCGGAAUUCCACCAGCAAAAAGGCACCCAAGUAGUGCAGCAAUUGCUUCAUGAACUGCUCUUGGUCCUAACUCCUUAACUUCACGCCAUCACGCAACACUUAAUCAAAACAAAAAAUCAGUAAAAAGUUUCCUACUUGAUCACAAUUUCACAGCAAUAGAGAAAGAGAGAGGGACUGACUGGCGAGGGAAUUGUAAAAGUUUCCUACUUGACAUGUUCGGGAUUCAUAAUAGCAGAUUAGCAGGCUAGCAGCUAUCUCGUUAUGCAUACAAUGUUUUUCUUUUUUAACAAGGAAUUAAGAAGGGCUCGAACACAACAUGUUUUUCUUUAAUGAUGAAACAAAAUAUGAAAACAAACUAUAAAACACGUACAAAUGCUCGAGCACAAUAUAUAAAUGUUUAGAUUGACCGCAUAAGAUUAAAUACUCAAAUCAAUAGAUUUUCUGAGUCAUUUUACAAGUUUCAAAUGCAUCGAACUUGGAUACACACUUUCAACAAGGUAUUAGAUCUAACAUCAAACUUGCUUGAAUCAUCUAAAACAUGAUACAUGCUUAACUAUUUAUUACAUGACAGUACAAACAAAACUUAUAUAUAGUCUUAUACUAAUCUCACAACAAUAGACAAUUCAAUUCCUAAAGACACCAACAAACCCAAGAAAAAUACUGAUCGUACUCUUCACCACAGCCCCAGCACCAAAGGGUAGUCACAUGAAAAGCCAAAGGAGAAUGAAACAAUGUACCCCUCAAAAGUGCAUUUUAUUCUUUGAUUUUCUUAUCUUAUCAAGUCUUCCUUUGCCAACGAGCCACUCGCACUGCGAUGAACAAUUCUGCCCUCUCUUGUAUUUUGUCAAAGAAUCGGAAAUAGGCAUACCUCCAUGAUUUCUUCAUAACCAAUGUGCCACAAACACUCCAAAACCCUAUGAUGAAGCCGAGCGCACUGCUAACAUACAUACCAAACGUCCGAUUCUUAUCAUCAUCAUCAUUAUGAUCAUCAUCGCCAAGGUCAGCUGGUGCAAGUGCGGCGUCUCCCGGGCAGAGAGUUGAAAGAGGAACCCCACACAAGGAUGGAUUGCUCUCGUAAAUGGAUGAAUCAUUGAGUGUUUGAAGUUGGUUACCUGAAGGAAUUCUUCCGGACAAGUUGUUGUGAGACAAGUCCAAGUGAGACAAAUAGGUUAAUGAAGAGAGACUGUGUGGAAUAUGUCCGGAGAGGUGAUUGUGCGAGAGAUCAAGAGUUUCAAGCCAUCGCAAGUUUCCAAUCUUUAAGGGAAUGUUUCCGGUCAGAUGAUUUCUGGACAAGUUCAACGUCCCCAAGGCAAUAAGGCUGCUUAUACCUUCAGGGAUUUCACCAUCUAAGUGAUUUGAUGAGAAAUCAAUGGUAUUCACCAAAGGCAGAGUCUUGUUAUACACCAGUUCUUGUCCCUUCAAUGUCAAGGUGGUAGCCUCAUGAUAAGCAUCAUCAUAAAAAUCGGAGAGAGUGCUAUCACCCGUAUCAGUGUCAUUANNNNNNNNNNNNNNNNNNNNUUAUGGCAUUUGAGCUACUGUUUUGUCAAGUUUAUACCCCCAGUAAAAAUUUACUAGGGGUAGUAAACUUCAUUUUUUUGCCGAUAUGCUUCCGGCAAGAUCCGGUGGGUUCCGUUGACAUUUUUUUCAAAAAAAUCCAGUGAGACUCCGGCGUCUUUGGCGAUUUUCCGAUUACCAUCAAUUUUCCAGCGACCGGUGACCGGAAUCUGGCAACCGGUGUUCGGCGACCGGAAUGCGGCUGCCGAUGACUGGCGUCUGAGCCCGGUGUGCUUCCGGCAAAGUCUUCCCUCCAUCUUUUUCAAUUUUUCUCUUUAAGUAAAAACUAAGGGAAAAAAGUCUUUAAAAAUAUAAUAAAUUUAUUAUAUUUUAAUAAAGAUUUGUGUAUUUGGGUUUAAAAUAAGUACUUUGUAUUCAAAUGGGCUAAUAAAAAGGAUUAUCAUUGAAAUGGGGUUUGACUUUUUCUAUUUUGUGCAAAUGGUCUUUUUCCCCAUCCUCGCCUGGCCCUUGUCGGAGGAGGACCAGUACGGCGCCGCCACCUUCCAAAAUCUCCGGAGCAGCGUCUGCAAAUCCGAACCCUCCCUUUGCUGCCAGAUUCAUCAAAUCUUAACAGUCACAAUCACCAAACCAAACUUGCACUAACCAAAACUAGAGAAUCUAUAGUAAUAAAGCACGCACCUUUUCCGGCGGAGUUGGCGGUGGCGGUGGUUGUGGAACCAAGUCAGACGCGGCCGCGGCACGACGCCAUGAAGCGACGUCGUUUCGUCUCCUUCUGAUUGGCAUUGUGUGCAGUGAUGAGGGAAACGUGGGUGCUGUGACUACUAGUGAUUUAAUGUGAUGGUGGGAGUGGUGGGCAGAGUAGCCAUGAGUCAAGCACAGUGAGACGCAGUGAGUUUAAGCUGCGAGUGUCAUCAUUUUUUGUUUUAAAUUUCGUUUCUUUUUGUUACUGGAUUUUAUUUUUUGGUUAUGGUUUGGUACGGAUCCGGCUGUGAGGAGCCGUUAGACUAAGUUUAUAAAAUUCACAUUUUUUAUCUAAUUUAAAGGUUCUAAGCAGAAUACAUCACUCUUAAAUUAAUUUAGGCUAACCCAUGAUUAAUUUUCGUAAACUGCAGUCAACUAAGUAACAAAAAAUAAAAAUAAAAAUAAAAAACAGACGGUUUAACGUCUCCUGUUGUAUUGUGUAUGCUGUCUUGCUUCUGUGCUGUUCUUUUGUUUCUCUACGCGACAAUGGAAACUCGUCCAUGGUUACAAGAAGGCACAAAUACAAUCAAGGUCAUCAAGGCACAUAAGAAAGGGUUAAGUUCUUUUGAUGUGCAAGAGUCUGUUCAUUCCUUUUUAUUGUCUAGUUUGAGGGGAUUUCAUUUAUUCAAACACAUAACUUUCAAAUCAUGGGGUAUGCAAGACUCAAAGAUCGUUGCUAAACUUUGAAAUCAACUGUUUGAUUCUUUUGUAUUUGGGAUUUUUGUAGCGAGUUCUAAUAAUGCACAUAAGAUGUUCGAUGAUAUGACAAGCUCAAUUUUUUUUAUAUCGAAUUCAAAUUUUGUUCAUGUUAACAUAAUAUGAUUUUUGGUAUUAAUUGACAAAAGCCAUAAAGCUGAUUUUCAUCUGUACUAAUUUCAUGUUUAUCUGGUACUCAAUGACCCUCUUUUGCGCACGCAUACCUGACUAUAGUAAUUUGUCAAUCUCUUCGACUCUUGUUUGCAUACAUUUUUCGGACCCCAAAACCAGUUUGGCCUCCGUAGUUCUUCCAAAAUUCAAAUGCAGCAUCUAGGGUAUCAAAUUGCAUCCCUAUUCGAGGAAUCCAAUCAAGAGACUUACUGAUGCCCUCGUCUAAAAUAUUUCUUGCAUGUCAUCCGUCCCACUUCGUAAGUAUUAAAAGAAGACAAAUAAGAACUAUAAGAUACUAUGGUUAAUAAAGUAUCAAGAGGUUGUUGUAAAGGAGGAACCUGUUUGCAUUUGUGCCUUCUUGUAACCAUGGACGAGUUUCCAUUGUCGCGCAGAGGAACAAAAAAACAACACAGAAGCAAGACAGCAGACGCAAUACAACAGAAGAGAUGUGUUAAACCCUUUGUUUUUAUCUGUUUUUUUUUUGGUUACUUAGUUGAUGGCAGUUUACGAAAGUUAACCAUGGGUUAGCCUAAAUUAAUUUAAGAAUGAUGUGUCCUGCUCAGAACCCUUAGAUUAGAUAAAGAGUGUGAAUUUUAUGAACUUAGACUAACUUUACGGGAUCCUCACUUUAGAGGAGUCGGAUCCGUUUGGUACUUUUCAUUUCAGAGCGAGUUUGUCUGAUUUGCUGUGGAGGAUGUGCGGCCAUGCUACUGGUUUUUCAGUGUUUCAUUUUGUUGCAGAAAAAAAAAAUAUGGAUUAUCCUUGACGAAUGAUCCCCAUAAUGCCAUGCAAUUUCUCAACAUUUUUCCAUCAAAACAUCAAUUUCGAUUUACCAACGUUUUAUGGUGUCAAAAAAUAUUUUAGCGGAAAUUUAUUAGAGUAAUUUUUAGUAGAUUGGUUUUUUAGGUAUUUCGAAAAGUAUAUCAGAAUGAUCCUAUCUCAUUAAUGAAAGCAGUCACAAUGAUGAAUUUCACUCAUUACACACAAAGAUAACACCGUUAUACAUUUUUUUGUCUUUUAGUCUAUUUUUAUAAAAUGAGCAUAAGACGAUCCAAUUUGCAAAUCGGUUGAUUGGCUAAAUUUGGAUCAUACUGUACUAAUACUAAGAUCACUUGAUCAAUUUUCAUAUACAAAGCCUCGGUAGGGAAUUCCGAUCAAGGCUAGGGUUCCUCAUGCUAACCCAAAUAAAUUGCAGGGCAAGUAGAAGUAGUAACCAAUACUUUUGAGGUGACGGUCGGUAGCUAGGCUUCAUAAUAGCAGAUAAGCAGGCUAGUUAGCAGCUAUCUCAUUAUGUAUACAAUGUUUUUUUUAACAAGGAAUUAAGAAUGACUUGAACACGACAUGUUUUUCUUUUAUGAUGAAACAAAACAUGAAAACAAACUCUAACACCUACAAAUGCUCGAGCACAAUAUAUAAAAUUUUGGAUUGACCACACAAGGUCAAAUACUCAAAUCAAUAGAUUUUUCAAGUCCUUUUACAAGUUUCAAACGCAUCGAACUUGGAUACACACUUUCAGGAAGACAUUAGAUUCAACAUCAAACUUGCUUGAAUCAUCUAAAACAUGAUCCAAGCUUAACUAUUUAUUAUUACAUGACAAUACAAAAUUACAAACCAAACUUAUAUAUAACAUAUAUAUACUAAUCUCACAACAAUAGACAGAAUUCAAAAUCUAAAGACACCAGUAAACCCAGGAACAAUACUGGCCGUACUCUUCAACAAAGCCCCAGCACCAAAGGGCAGUCACAUGAAAAGCACCCGAACCAAGGAGAAUGAAACAAUGUACCCCUCAAAAAAGCUAGAAAUGCCCUAUAUUGACCGCCUUCAAUGCAUUUUAUUAUUUGAUUUUCUUAUCUUAUCAAGUCUUCCUUUGCCAACGAGCCACUCUCGUUGCGAUGACCAAUUCUGCCCUCUCUUGUAUUUUGUCAAAGAAUCGGAAAUAGGCAUACCUCCAUGAUUUCUUCAUAACCAAUGUGCCACAAACACUCCAAAACCCUGUGAUGAAGCCAAGUGCACCCUAACAUACAUACCAAGCUUCCCAUUAUCAUCAUUAUCGUUGUCAUUAUGACCAUCAUCAUCGUUGGGGUCAGCUGGUGCUGGUGCGGGUGCGGCGUCUCCCGCGCAGAGAGUUGAAAGAGGAACCCCACACAAGGAUGGGUUACUCUCGUAAAUGGAUGAAUCAUUGAGUGUUUGAAGUUGGUUACCUGAAGGAAUUCUUCCGGACAAGUUGUUGUGAGACAAGUCCAAGUGAGACAAAGAGGUUAAUGAAGAGAGACUGUGUAGAAUAUGUCCGGAGAGGUUAUUGUGCGAGAGAUCAAGAGUUUCAAUCCAUCGCAAGUUUCCAAUCUUUGAGGGAAUGUUUCCGGUCAGAUGAUUUCUGGACAAGUUCAACGUCCCCAAGGCAAUAAGGCUGCUUACACCUUUAGGGAUUUCACCAUGCAAGUGAUUUGAUGAGAAAUCAAUGGUAUUCACCAAAGGCAGAGUCUUGUUAUACACCAGUUCUUGUCCCUUCAAUGUCAAGAUGGUAGCCUCAAGAAAAUCCGAAAUAAAGGACCGAGUAACUCCCGGAUCAGUGUCAUUACCAAAAGCCAAAGCAGUCAAAUUGUACAAACAUUGGGGAAUGGUCCCUGAAAAGUUGUUGCGGCUAAGAUCAAUGACAUGCAGAGAUUGAAAAGAGCACAAUCGAUUGGGAAUAUGUCCGCUUAAGGAGUUCAAUCGCAAUUGGAUCCUACGUAAGUUGAAGGAGAGGGUGAGGUACUAGGAGCUGAUGGAGAUGAUGGUGAAGUAGUGGAUGAUACUUGAGGGGCCACUGGUGAGGUGGGAGAGUUGUAUGGUCUGAUGGAAGAAUGGGAGGGAUUAAGUGACAUAGUGUGUGAUGAGAAAUAAAACUCCAAGAUCUCAGUCGGGGCGUCAUGUGCAGGAGUAGCAGCAAUAGUCUCUCGAAAAAAACAAUUUUCAUUAAAGAUGACAUGUUUGGACAAAUAGACUCGACGUGUGGACAACCCUAGACACCGAUAUCCAUGAUGAUUGAGAGAGUAUUUCUGAGCCUGAGAUACGUUAAUUCAGUUUGAGAUCGAAGCCACAUCCCAAAGGCAGGACCUACUCUGCAGUCAACAAUAUCGAGUAAAUCAAGCUUGAAAGGAGGAACCCAGUCCUGAGCCACAUUCAAACUGAGGGAGAAAGGUUGCUCUGUGCUUAUAGCAAAAGACUUUGUGAGAGUUUGGAAAUGGACUUCUGUUAAAAUGCCUUCCCACGAAUUCAAAGAUAGAUCUAGGUCAACUAGCCGAGAGAGUUGUCCCAAACUUGCAGGAAUGGACCCAUUCAUAUGAUUCCUAGAGAUGUAUUGCAUAUGCAGAGAGACUCAGCUUAAUAAAGGAGAACGAAUAGGUCAACACUUGCACGUCCUUAUACUCAGAGCAUAAAGAAUGGCUGAUAGGGGCAAUUCUAUAUACUAGAGCAUUAGGCAACUAACACCGUUCAUAUCUUUGUUUAAUUAUGAGCAUUAGGCAACUAAUACUGUUCAUAUCUUUGUUUAAUUAUNNNNNNNNNNNNNNNNNNNNCAAUUGGAUCCUACGUAAGUUGGAUGACAAAGGUGAUCUUGUCUGUAGAGGUAGAGGUAUGCCUCCUGUAAAUUUAUUUCCUGCAAGAUCAAUACUCACCAACUCUGUGCAAUUUUGGAAUAAGGAAGAAGGAAUUUGACCCGUGAAAUUGUUGUUGCUCAGAUUCAAUACCCAUAGUGAGCUCGGGACACCCAUUGAACUGGUGAUAUUGCCGGUCAAAUCGUUGUAUGAGACAUCUACAGCUUGUAUAUAUGGCCACAUACUCCAUGCUCGAGAGAAGUCUCCAGACAAGUGAUUGCUUCUUAAAAUAAGGAAUCUCAAACUUGACAUGUUGCAUAAAGAGGGUGGUAUACUACCACUCAGAUUAUUGUCAGAAAGAGACAAUUCUUCCAAAUUAGGCAACAGUUGGUCAUAGUUUGAGGGAAUUGGCCCCGACAAAGAGUUGCUUCGAAGAUCGAGAUAGUAGGCAGCAUCACUAGACCAUUGUGGCAGAGGGCCCUCAAAUUCAUUAUGAUUCAGAUCUAUAUACUCCAAAGAUGGGGAGUUCAUGUGAAAUGGAAGCUUUCCACGGAUUUGGUUGUUGGACAAAUCCACCAAUGUGAGUUUGGAAGAUAUCGUCAAGAACCAUUCCUCUGGUAUGGAGUCUGAUAUUCCAGUAUUUCUGAGCCUGAGAAACGUUAAUUCAGUUUGAGAUCGAAGCCACAUCCCAAAGGCAGGACCUACUCUGCAGUUAACAAUGUCGAGUGAAUCAAGCUGGAAAGGAGGAACCCAGUCAUGAGCCACAUUCAAACUGAGGGAGAAAGGUUGCUCUGUGGUUAUAGCAAAAGACUCUAACUUUGUGAGAGUUCGGAAAUGGACUUCUGUUAAAAUGCCUUCCCACGAAUUCGAAAAUAGAUGUAGGUGAACUAGCUGAGAGAGUUGUCCCAAACUUGCAGGAAUGGACCCAUUCAUAUGAUUCCAAGAGAUGUCCAGUUUUUCCAAGGAUGAUAAAUUACCAAUAGAUUCUGGAAUUGAACCAUAAAAUUUGUUGUCACGGAGGUCAAGUUCCUUCAGAUUUUCUAGCACUCCUAAGGCGGCAGGCAGUUCACCUUUUAUCUCAUUGGUGGACAAAUCAAGCGACUCUAGUCUGUAACUUGUGCAGUUUGAGAAGCCAUUCAAAACCUCUUCCAAACCAUCACUGAACGAGUUUUCAGAAAGAUUUAAUAUCCUUAGGUUACACAAUCUACCAAAGACUUCGGGAAUUUGACCUUGGGGAGUAAACGGAGAAUUGAACCUUAAUUGAAGGUCUUCCAAAGACUUAAGGUUAGCAAGUUCAACAGGGAAGGGAGUCAAGGGACUGAACAAAUUGCCAGAUGCAUCAAGUUUUUUGAGGUUGGUAAGAUUAAAAAUCCAGCUGGGAAAUGAAGAAUCAAUAUAAUUCCCUGAUAUAUCAAGAACCAAGAGGGAUGUGAAGUUCACUGACCGCAGCUGGGAUUGUGGAAGCUUUUCAAUUUGGCAAUUAAACAAAUGCAACUCCAAGAGUGAAGGAAGCAUGUUGACAUCAUGUAGCCAACUUCCUGCUAAGCUGCUGAGGUUAACACCUCCAAGAUUGAGGUACUUUAGGGAAGAGAGAUGAGAAAGCCAAUUCAAGUUAUUGGAAUAACAAUAGUCAUAGUAAUAACUAUUGAGGUCAAGAUAGUUCAAAUUUGAGAGGUUACCAAGAGUUGGGGGAAUCUCUCCCUUAAAUGAAGCAUAGGAGAGAUUAAGAUACCUCAAACUUGUAAGCUUCCCAAAGAAAUCAGGAAUUCGGAGUCCUCGAAAAUCAUUUCCGCUUAGGUCAAGGCUAUACAACUUCUUUAAGCUAAGCAAAGAAGGAUUGAUGUUACCCCCCAAAGAAGUAUCCUGGUCGGAGGAGUCAUACUCUGGAUGAUAAUUCGGGUUCCGGAGGUCCAUCUGUGCAACGUGGCCUGUACGGUUGUUGCAUGAAAUCCCUUUCCAUCGACAGCAAUCCAGACCCACCCAAGAUGAAAGCCUGCCGGAACUGUCAUUAACAUUUCUUUUGAAGCUGAGAAGAGCUUGUCUCUCUUCCUCGAUGCAUGAUGCACUCGGAAGUCUUUCUCCCAAACACAGUUGAGAAGUCUGCAGAUAUGAAGAUGCCAGAAAAAGAAAGAGCAAGUAGUGAGCAACAAUUUGGAUGUGGAAGCGAUAGCCGGUAGGCUUGAAUAGGCCUGCACACAAGCUAUCCAUCAUUAUACAAAUAUUUUCUUCAACUUUGUAAAUGUAAAGAAAUAAUAGAAUUCUAAACCGAAUUUAAUGUUGUACCGAAUAGUCUGAAAUGAAUUGGUGUCCAGGUAUUUCAAAGUCAUCAACGACCUCGUUCUCCAAGUUUCCAAGUCUCCAAGUCCACCCAUUCGAGAGUCAUAUAUACGUGUAUUUGGGACUAAUUUGAAAUGUUGAAGGAAUCGAUACUGGAACUGAACAUGACAUCUCCAUCAAGUAGUAUUCAUAGCUUUACGAGAUAAGUGCAAUAGGCGCAUGCUGAUUCAAAGACUUAGCACAUUGUAAUCAUUCUUAUUAGGACUAGGCGCAUGCUUUUCAAGUUUUAUGGAAUAUACUGGUACCCUGCUUAAAACAAGGAUUUGUUAACCCUACUGAUAAAAAGACGGGAUGAUCCCAAUAGAGUAUAGCUCCACCAUUCGUACCUCUCUCCUAGGUAGUCCAGCUAGUGUUAGCUUCACAUUUUCAUGUACAAUAAUACACUAAUACAGAGCCUUGGUAGGAAUUCCGAUCAAAGCUGGGGUUUCCUCAUACUGUACCAAUACUAAGAUCACUAAACCAAUAAUCCAAUAUAUUUUGAGGAGAAUUUUUUGGAUCGACUGCAGGCAUAAGAUUAAAUACUGAAAUCAGUAGAUAUUCCAAGUCCUUUUACAAGUUUUGAAUGAAUCGAACUAACAUUAAAUACCCAAAAAUCGAACUAACAUUAAAUACCCAAAAAUUUAUGGAAUUAUAAAACCGAACUAACAUUAAAUACCCAAAAAUCUGAAGUGAAAAAUGGUGUCCAGGUAUUCCAAAGUCAUCAACGACCCCGUUCUCCAAGUUUCCAAGUCCACUCAAAGCCUUUUAGGUACUUUCUGAUAGACCGAGACUUGGUUUCCCAAAUCACCAACAGUAUGAUUCAGACCAAACUAGUACUUGUGUAAUCAAUUGUUACGAAAGUUCUACUAAAAGGGAUACUGGAAUUGACAUCCAAGGGUGACUACAGCUCGACCAAGUAAUUGCUAAGUUGGAAUCGGUGAGAUAAUUAUCGGGAAACAAUUGUAUCUUGCUUAGUCAUGUGGAUGAUAUGAACCACAAACACUUAAAAAAAAAAUUGAAAUUAUGAAGAUUGGGGAGUAGUUUAUGAACUAACUGUGGAAGAUUCCUGGAAGAGGCAGGUCGGUGGGAGGUCACUGAUCAGACUAAUUACAGGAGAGGAAAAUGUCUUGUGCUCUGAAACUUGUUCGGAGGAACUUGCUUAUGUCCUUUUCUGUAUUAGCAGUGGCCCCUAACAAGAAAUAUGACUUAAGGUCACGAUUGACAGCAAAUUUGACUCUAAUUGUUCUUAAGACCUUGAUAUAGCUACGAUUUUGAGUGCAUGCCUUUGGCUCUAGGGGUAUGGGAUGAACGGACAAUACAGUAUAAAGAACAGCAAAAAGGCACCCAAGUAGUACAGAAAUUGCUUCAUGAACUGCUCUUGGUCCUAACUCCUUAACUUCACGCCAUCACGCAACAUUUCAUCAAAACAAAAAAUCAGUAAAAAGUUUCCUACUUGAUCACAAUUUCACAGCAACAGAGAAAGAGGGACUGACUGGCAAUGGCAUUGUACAAGUCACGGCCGAGGAAAAUGAAGCCGACGCUGAUUCCGGUGGUGGCGAGAGCUAGAAGAAACACUCCUCCGAGCUGCAUCCUCGCCUGGACCUUGUCGUCGGAGGACCAGUACGGCGCCGCCACCUUCCAGAAUCUCCGGAGCAGUAGAGAUUGGAGGGUUCUGAGGUGAAGGAGUGUUGGGGUUGAAUAUAUUGGGUUAGAUGAUAAGAUGAGUUCUUUUCUGGGUUUCGAGGGAUCUGGAGAGGGGGGUGGGGGGUAGGGAAGGGUGAGUCAACUCGGCGAGUCGGUGAACCUGAUUUUACCUCUUUUACCUCCUAUGACUUUUUCUAUUUUUUUUUUAGUAAACUACAGUUUAGUUACUAAUCAAAUUUCAACUUGUAAAUACAUUCUUUACACAGUAUCUUAAGGACAAAUAUUAACAAAUUAGGACAAACCAAUGUCAUCAUGUCAUCUAUCAUUACCUAUUUAACCCAAAUACCCUUCUUCCCUAUCCAUAAAAAUAGCUGAAAAAAUCAAAAUUCUCAUCAAUUCCCAAACCUAACGUGAUCGACCGUCCCUCUAGUUUUCUCUCUUCUCUGUGACGAACAGUGUCGCCGGAGGAAUUUCGUUGUUUUGCAUACCGGAAAGCUCAAUAGAGAGUCCGAUCAUCUAUCUUCGUCACCAUCAGUUCUCUUUUGGUUCGUAGAAGCAAUCUAUUAUUCUUUGAGAUAAUCGAAUUUUCAGGUUAGAUUCUGGCUUAUUCCUGUCCUUUUAUGCUUUAAUUUCAUGUUUGAUCGUAAUUUGAUGCUUGUGUUUUGUUUUGAUCAUCUAGUUUACAUGAUCUCUUAUGGAAUUCGUCUAGUUAUUGUUUAAUUUUGGUUCGUUUUGAAUUUUGAACUACUUUUUGGUUGAAAAUCAUAAUCGUAGCAUAGCAGUAGCAUGUUUAUGAUUAUAGGUUAGAACAGUAGCAUAAUAACAGAGGAAGUAUUAGUAGUUUGUUUUUGUAGUUUUUGACUAUAAGGAACUACUGGCAUAGUAGCAUAGUAAUAGCAUAGUAUCAUAUUGAAAGAACUAGUUUAUGCUGAAUUCAUAAUAGAGCAGUAGCAUAACAGAUUUUGCGUUUAUGUAUGUACUAACACAGUAGCAUAACAGUAGCAUACCAUAUAUGUAUUAACAGAUUUUGGUUUGUGGAUAAAUUGUGGCAUAACAGAUGAACAUAGUAGCAUAUAUGUUUAUUAACACAAUAGCAGAUAUGUUUAUUAACAGUUUCAUAACAGAUAUGUUUCAGUUUUUGUAUUGUAGAUAAAUUGUAGUAUAACAAUAGCAGGUUUUGGUUUUUUGUGCAUAUGUUAUGUAUUAACACUGUAGCACAUACAACAUAUUGGUAGCUUUGUUAACAGAUUUUCUAAUCGUGUUAUGUAGUAUGACAAAGCCUAUAUAUGGAAGAUUUACUUAUGGCACAGAGACCAUUCUUUUACCAUUGUGUUCAAGCACCACCUAUGAAGAGUUGCUCGCGAAAGUUUCCUCAAGAUUUCGGUAUCUUGGUGGUCGAUUUGUUUUUAGAUAUAUAUGCACUCACUGAUUGUUCCAACUGUCAUUUAGAAUGUGAUGAUGGCAUUUCUGUCAUGUUGGAUAUCUUUCCUAUGUUGAACUCUCCCUUUAUAGAUAUACAUGUUCUGGAUAUUGGAUGUAGCUCUAAGAGCUGUAUUGAUGAGAAAAUUCAUGUUGCUGUGAUGCCUGCUACUAUUGUACCUAAUGCUUUUGAGGAUGUCCCUCUACAUGUUGCUAAAGCUAAUCUGAGUAGCGAUGAUUCAAACUACGAGAAUGUUGAUAAUAUGGUCAUUGGAAAUUUUGUUAGUAACAAGUCCAAGAGGAAGUAUAUGUCUAGUGAAUGGAGCGAGUAUAUCAACAAAAUUGGUCAAGUUUUUGUUGGUGUUGCCAUAGAAUUUCGGCAAAAGUUGUGCAAGUUUGCAAUAGAGAAGGGUUUUCUAUUUGAUUAUGCCAAAAACGACAACUUAAGGGUCAGUGCUACUUGUUCGAAAAAGGAAUCUGAGAAGUGUGAAUGGUACAUUUAUGCUUCCAUAGAAAAGGCUAGCGGCUUCUUUGUUAUUAGAAAGUCGGUGAAUACUCAUUCUUGUCUUGGUAUCGUGAGGCAUGAAAACCAUAAGAAGCUAGGAUCUAAAGUGAUUUCCAGUAUCAUUGUUGAUAAAGUGAAAUCUGAUCCUUUGAUUAAGCCGACAAAUAUUGUUAAGAAUUUUAAGGAAGAAUAUGGCUUGGUCAUUCCAUAUUACAUGACAUAUAGAGGAAAGGAUUCUGCUAAUGAUCUUUUCAAUGGUAGUGAAGCUCUUGGGUAUGCUCUAUUGCCUUGGUACAUUGAUGCAUUGAAGAGAACUAACCCUGAUUCAUAUUGCAUUCUUGACUCUAUUGAAGGUCGUUUUCGACGAUUGUUCAUUUGUUAUGGUGCUUGCCUAAAGGGUUUCCAAUAUUGUCAACCGAUGCUAUUUAUAGACGGGACUUUUAUUAAAAACAAGUACAAGGGUGUCCUGUUAAGUGCUUGUGCUGAAACAGUGACUAAAGGUAUGCAAAUUUUUUCUGAAGUUUACUUUUGCUAUUUCGAUUUUGUCUAGGUAGUAGCAGCAUUAGUAUACCAUGAUUCAUUGUGAUUUUUUAUUGUAAAUUCAUGUGGACUUCAUACCAUCAGCCUUUUUUCUUGUGAUUUUCACCCGAUUAUGUUUUGCAUAUUGUUCCUAUAGUCUAGUUGUAUAUCUUUAUGUCAGUAGUAGUAUCAUUUUAUAGCAAAAGCUGCUGUUAAUUUUGAUCCUAUUUGUUAUCUUAUUUAUAUCCUAUUUUUUGUUUUUGUUAUUUCAGAAAUAUUCCAAUUUGCCUUUGCGGUUGUUGACACUGAAACCAAAGAGAAUUGGAACUGGUUUCUGGAGCAUUUAUGUAAUACCCCGAAAUUUUAAUAUUAGUUUCUAAUAUUAUUUAAUAUUAUUUUGGAAAUUAUUUAAGUAAGAGUUGUAUGGAUUUGUGGUUUAGUGAGUGGACUGGAAGUAGUUGAGUUUUUAGUUCCGUGAAAAUGCUCUAUUUUGAAGGGUUAAGAGUUGACUUUUUAAUCUGUUGGGUUUCUCGGGAAACUUCCUUCACAAAAUUUGUAGAGCACGACGAUACGAGUUCGUAGACACGUGGCACGCGUAAAACGGACUUCAUGUGGAAGUUAUGGUCAGCGGAAGUUGUGGCUUUUCGGGAAUAUUUAGGUUAAAUAGGAAAUUUUCAGUUUGGGUCCUCAGUUUUUCAGAAACCAGAUUUUCCUCCCUCUCCUUCUCUCUGUCCGACCCCGAGAGAAUUCAAAGUCCUCCAACCGACCCGACCCUGACCCGGUGACCCGACCCGGCUUUUCCGGCCACCUCCGACCGACCUAAACGCCGGCACCGAUCGGGUUCUCUUCCUCUCCUCCGUCUGAGCUGCCCUGCGGUGGUGACUUGCGCCGAUUCGGUCCCGAAGUGGUGACCCGAAGCUCGGAAUUUCGGGUUAGAGACCCGGUCAGGUUUCAGACCUCCGACGGCGGCGACAAGGCGGGAGACCGGUCGGGAUAGAAGUUCCUUGGCGUCCUGGUUCGACUUCUGGUGGCCUUGGAGCGCGACUCACGGUGGAGAGUGGCGAUGGUGGAUUCCAAACUUUCCGACGCGUUUCCGGUGAUUUCCGGCCGAUUUCGGCCGAACUAGAUAAACCCUCAGGUAUGAAAGAUGCUCCUCUCUCCUCAAUCUACAAAUUUGAUGUUUAGAGGAUGCCCAAAUUCGGACGUUUCGUGGUGGCGCGUGGGGCCCACUCGCAGCCGCCUGUGGUGGUGCGUGGCCGCGCGUUCGGUAGUGUCUGGGGUGUUUUGUGGUGCUGGUUAGAUAGUACUCUUCGAUACGAGCGUGUUGAUUUGUGGGUUGUAGGUUUUGGUUAUCUUUAUUGCAUGCUAGGGUUUCCCCGUGGUGUUAAGUUUCGUUCGUUUCAUUUUUUGAGUAAUCCGAACAUGAGAAUCUGGUUAGUAGUUCUAUAGGAUGUGUAGGACGUUUCAGCGACCUUUUAGAGGUCAAGGAGGAGGAUUUGUCUCGAGUGAUAAGCUUGUGGAUUAGGACUUGAGUUUCGGUUCGAGUCGGAUAAUGUUGUUUUCUUAGUUACUAAGGUUAACGUUUUGUUAAUAGGUGACUUGUGGUGUGGUUUUGUGUGAUAUGCUUGUGUUGUGCGUGCGAAGACGCAGCUGGAUUUGAGGUGAGUAACAUCUCACUAAGGUCCACUUUCGGACCAAUCAUUUAUAAUUAUUAUGAUGUUGAUUUUGAAGAUGAUUAUGUUGAUGAUUGUGAUGUUGAUUUUGAUAUGAUGAUAAUUGUAUGAUGAUGAUGAGAUUAAUGAUGAUGAUGAAAAUGUUGAUGAUAUGAUGAUUAUGAUGAUAAUUAUUAUGAUGACGAUGGUAAUAGGUUUGAUUGAUGAUUAUGAUGCUAUUUUUAAAUUGUGAGUAAAUCUCACAUGGGUUCUUAAGAAACCAAAUUUAUUUUAUAAUUUUGUUAUGGUUAGAUGUGAAGUUGUCCUUAAAGAAAAAAUGAUUUUUGUUUUAAAAAUAAAUGAGCUUGAUCGUCAACGGCUCAUGGGUAAGUGAAAAUAUGUUUUCUGGUAAAAUAAAAUCUUUCCAAAAGGACUUCCGAUCAUGUGAUUUGUGAUGCUGAAAUAUGGUUGUUGAUAUUUUUAUUCUAGUGGGAAUAUCUAUGUCUUUGUUAUAUAAAUAUAUCUAGGUGGAAAGAUAUAAUUUAUGAAGUGCUCUUGUGUUGUUAUUGAUGAUAUUUUUAUAUUGUGAAUUGUUGUUUAAAUAGUCAAACCGGGUUCCGAGCCUUUAAUCGGGUGAUUGGUUACGGUUAUGAUAUUAUUAUUUUAUGAUUUGAUAAGUGUUAUGACGUGAGAGUAAUAGAAUGUGUGUCUUAGUGGUGAUGGUGUGCAUUAGAUUAGGAGCCUUCGUGGUGGACCGGGAACCAAGCCUUGGCCGGGUGAUUGGUUACGGUCAGUAUAGAGCUCUAGUCUGUCAGUCGGUACUUCAUGGGGGAUGACUACGUGUUGAUGAACCCAUGAGUACGCAUUUGUUGGUUACUUAUGGGGGAUGACUAAGUGUUGGCGAACUCAUAAUUAAGAGUAGAGAAAUGAUUGUUUGAGGUUCUUAUUUGUUGUCUUUUAAAAUUCCUCGUUUUAAGUAUUUCUUGAACUAUGCCUUUUUCUAGGAUUUCAUUUUGAUUUGUUUGAUUGUGAAUUGUUGCAUUUCCUUUUAAUUAUUUGUUUCAUUUAUGAUUUUGAGUGAUUUUGAAUUAUUGUGUUUUUCUUAAUUGUUCUUUUGAUUUCUCUUGCUUUUAGGUGAUUCCUGAACUAAGUUAUUAAUACAGGAAUUACCAAUUUUAUUUAUAUGUGAUGUUGGAAUUGUUGAGUUAAUAUUUGGGAGUUACUCAUACGAGCUUUUUAGCUUACCGGGUUUGUUGUUUACAACCCGGUGCACAAAUUCAUGGUGUAGGGGUUAGACCUGCAGGUGAUGAUCAGCAGGGUUGAGGCAGUGUCCUAGGAGCUGGGUUUUUGACGAGAUACAUUUAUUUGUAUUUUUAUGGUAGUUGUUUUAAGCUCUUGGACUUUUGGAAGUUGAUGUAAUUAAGGAGAAUAAAUGUUUAACUCAGUUGUUGAGUUUGUUAACAUCUACAUUUCUAGUAUCUGUUUUUAGUUUGAUAGUUGUUGAGCAGGUUUUGGGGUAUUUAGAAUUUGAGUUUUAUCAUGCCCAAAUUUUUGAAAUUUUAUCCUUCGAAAAUUGGGGCGUGACAAUUUAGCAAUCAUUCUAAUGACUGACUAUCGCAAUAUUGUGUUCAUGUCAGACCGUGGACGUGGUCUUUUGGAUGGUGUGAAAGAGGUUUUUCCAAAUGCUCCCCACUCUUUCUGUAUUAAGCAUUUGAAGGACAACUUGAGUGGCAGGUAUCCAAUUCUUUUGGUUCUACUUAUAGGAAACACAUUGUCAAAUUGUUUCAGAAAUGUGCGUAUGCUAGGACUGUGGACAUCUUUAACGAAAAAAUGGAAGAGUUUAAGAAAGAAUGUCGUAAUCUGGGUGAGUCCUUUCUUGAAAAGUUGGCAUCAGAAAACUAUGCUAUUACUUGUUUCCCUGCCAAAAGAUAUGGCAAAAUGAGUAACUCUUUGGCAGAGAGUAACAAUAAGAUGCUCAUUGAUGAGAGAUGCAUGCCGCUGCCCUAGUUGCUUAAAGGCAUUUGUGUCAAGACUAUGAAUAAGUUUCAUGAAAGGAAGGUCGAAUCUUCUACUUGGAGGUCUGUGCUGUGUCCUAAGCUUGAGAAAAAGCUGUCGAAAAGGUUGGAAACUGGGAGAAACUGGAGAGUCAGUCAGUCUAGCGUUGAUGUUUUUGAAGUGUGCACAGAGGAUAGCAAUGACAUGGUGAACUUGGUUGAGAUGGAGUGUUCAUGUGGUUGGUGGCAAUUUCGGUGCUUCCCUUGUUCUCAUGCAGUUCAAGUGAUGCAGAAGGCAAAUCGCCUACCUUACCAUUACAUUGAAGAUUACUGGAAGACUUCAUUUUAUAGAAGUGCACAUGACCAAGCUAUUAUUCCAGUCCUGGAUCGUUAUAAGCCUAAUCCCAACAGUUUUGGUGAUUUUGCUUUGCAGCCUCCCAUUACUCAAAAACCUCCCAGAAGACCAAAGACAAGGAGGAUUAGGUCUUUUGGUGAAGAGGCCAUACCAAUGCAAUGCCAACGCUGUCAUCAACUUGCCCACCACAACAGCAGGUCAUGCACUACAGCUAUAUGAGCAGUAGCAUAUGUAGGGAAACCGAUUAUGUUAGGAAAAAAUUGGUCAUGGAUCAAUGUUUUUAAGAAGUAGCACAUUUUGACAGUAGCAAAUUUGACUUUAGAAGAUGUUAUUGCUUUGCUAGCAAAUUACAGAUUUUCAGAUUUUACAGGAAAAUGUUUGAAUUUCAGCUACUUGAUAUUCUUUGCUAGCAGCUAUAUCGUACUUCUAUUUUUUUAAUUUUUUUUUCGUUUUGAGGUCAGUAGCAGGGUAUUCGCGGUGCAGCGGCACGCUGCUUUACUCAUGUACUAUAUUUUUCAUGAAUUUAGUUUGAUUUUGCCUCUUCUUUUUUGUGCCAAAUCCCCUUGCUUUUUCAUAGAAAGAGGCUGUGCACAGUUAGCGAGUCUUUGGCUCUCCUGAGAAUGAUUACCAAUUACCAAUUUAGCAAAGUAGUUUUUUGGCUUUAUUUUUGUAAUGCAUAUUGGCUCUAAAACCUAUCAGCAAAACUUCCAGCAACCAAACACAACAUUAAUGCCUGUUAUUUGCACAAAACAUUCAAUUAUGAUAUACCAAGAGCUACAUGAUGCAAGCCAACCUGUACAAACUCCCAACUUAGUAGCAUACUGAAAAGAACUAGUUCAAGUUGAAUUCAUAAUAAACUGUAUCAGAGUAGUAGCAUGGUUUUACAGUUCAUCCAAACAAGGUUAUGAAGCAAUGCUUAAACGAAAACCUAGACCGCUAUCUAUCCUAAUACAGUAGCAGCAUUUUCAUUUUCCAUUCCUUGGUUUUUUUGAGAGUCUCUGCACCUCGUAAUCUUCCAUUUUCUUCUCUUUUCGGUCCCUCCUUCCUUUGAUCCUCUUGACUAUUGAACGCGUCCUUGGAGAAGUAGCAGGUUGAGCUUCAUUUUCAACUUUGCCCUUUUCUGUAGCCUUUGCUGUGGCAGUUUCAGCUACUUUGUCAUCUUUUGCAGCUGCACCCUUCUCAGCUUCUUAUGCAGUUGCACAUUCUGAGCAAGAACCACAUUUGGAACGACAAAUUUCCUUCUAAGCAAUAAAAUUGCAUAUUCAUUAGACAAAUCAAACUAUGUCUCAAAAUUUUAAAUUCUCAAUGAACACAUAACAACAAAGUAAAUCAAGACAAAGGAAAUCACCUCAGUAGCAACCUUAGCCACACUCUCUUCAACUUCUAGAUCGACAAUUUUUUCACUCCCAGCUCCACCUUUUUCACCCUCAGUGUCUUUCUCACUCCUAGCACCCUCUAAACCCUUUUGCAGUAGCCAUAGUUGUCUGCACUUUAUCCUUAACUUUUUAAUAUGUUCUUCCUUCUUCUUCAGCUUUGCCUUCAAUUGCUUGUAUUUUUUGGUCACUUCUUCUUUUUCUAUAGCCGUUCUAUGUAAUCAGAAUUCCUCUUGCAGGAGGCGCAGGUAUCUAUUGCAGACCCAUUCUGCUGGUGCUCCACAGUGUUAACGUCUUUGUCUUCACUGCUUUGAUACUCAAUUCCGUUAUAUAUCAGGGCCUCCUUUUCCAUUUGCUUUACCCACUGUUCAAGUUCUUUCGGAGUACUCACUUUGUUAUGUUUCAUUGUCUUCGAAAAUACCUCAGUUUCUCCAUCCCUAUCCUGAUUGAAAAACUCAGGAUUCUUUCUGUCUCUGCGGCAUUUUGUUCAUAGAUUGCAUCCUCAAACUCAUCUACAUUUCCUUCAGCUCCUUCUCCAUUCUCAAAGUUCAAUUCAACCAUUUCCUUACCCUUUCCAUCUACUUUGGCAUGUUGAUUCUCUAUUUCCUCUGUUUACCCAAUCUUCUAAUGCCAAGUAUUUAGGUUCCUCUUGAACUUGUUCAGCAGCACCCUCUUGAACUUAUUCAGUAGCUAUCUCCAUAAAUUGGUCGGCAGCAUCCUCUUGAACUUGUUCAGCAGCACCCUCUUGAACUUGUUCAAUAGCUAUCUCCAUAAAUUGGUCGGCAGCAUCCUCUUGAACUUCUUCAGCAGCAUCCUUCUUUUUGUUUUUGUUUGAUUUCUUUGCAGUGACUUUGGCUUUCUUUUUUAUCUUGUUUCUUCUCACCGCAACACCUACUUUCUCUUUCUUAGCUUCCAUCUUUCUUUUCUUGGUUAAAUCUUCAACUGAGGGUCCUCGAAGUCAUCAUCACUGUUUUCUUUGGUUGCAUAAAUGUUUCUUCUUUUUCCUACAACUGCAUUAUCAAUAUGCAAUUCAAUUUUAGUCAAUUUAGUUAAUAAGAUAUUGCACAGUAGCAAAAGAUACAUAAGCACAUUUACAGUAACAUAUUCUUACUUCUAUUUCUUCAACUUUCAUUUUCUCUAGUUUUUUGGUGAAUUAUGGUAGAUUCCAUUUUGCGCACCCUGGCAUCAUUUCUUCUCUGCCGUCAAUCUCUAUAAGUAAUGCACUUCUCUCGCAUAUCCAGUACUAAAACAAAACCAAACAGAUAUAAGUAACACACAGAAAAACAAAAAAUGAAUUGCAUAGUAGUAGUAGCAGUAGUGAAGUUACCGGAAUUAGUGUCGUACACCCACUUAUUUGAGUUGCUUGUCCAUUUUUGGCAAUAUUCAAACAGAAAAGAAGGUAGUCUCUCACACCUUUCGCCCAGUUAUACUUGUUCAUGGUUUCCAUAUCCUCUAUGCACUUAACGAAGCUCCAUCCUAAUUUCGAUCCAGCGCUUGCAAACAGUUGCGUGAUGAAUAGAUGUAGUAUCAUUAAUAUUUCAAUAUUCUCUAUCCGUUCCGGAGAUUCGUCAUUGUCUAGCUCAGCAUCAAUACAACUCAUUUUCUUUGCUCUUUCAAUCCUUUUUUCUUCGGCAAAAAACCUUUGAACAAUAGGAUUAUCAGUUGGCUUCCUUGAACCAUCUUUUGGGUUUGGCACUGUGAGGCCUGCCCAUAGGCAAUCCCAAAAUGUAAUGCACAUCAGACACUGAUAUUUCAGCCAAAUGUUUCCCAAACCUGAACUUCUUCAGAGACGUGUCAUAGCAUUGAACUAUUCUAUGCACAUCUUUAUCCGACUUUUCAGCUGUGGCCUUUUUCAUCAAUCCCUUAUCAUAUAGUGCAAUCAGGUUCCAAAAUGGCGUCUUCCUCAACACUUCUCUCAAUAGCAUUCUUUCUUUGGUUUUCAGCUUCCCAUAUAUCUUAAAAACCAGGUCUUGGAAAGCAGUCAUAUUGCACUUGUAUUGGCUAUUUGAUUGUUCUUUUUCAAAACGUGCUGGAGCUUUGAUUCUCUUUAGUCCUUUUUGCAACUGCAGACAGUAGCAUAUUCAUAUUCUCACAUUCCAAAACACACAAACAUUCCAAGUAAAUGCAGUAGUUGAAAUUAAAUCAACAAAUUGCACAAUUCAUAACAACAAACACUUGCUCAAACAGUAGCAUAGUAGUAGCAUAGAACUAAUAUGUGUAGCCUGGACUCGAUCCAGAAAGCCAGAACUAGUUGCAUAGAAAUAAAUCAUACAGUAGGUAAUAAAUAUAUCCUUCGUCAAGCAUGGUUGCAUUUGAUCACGCCCCUACUACAUGAACAUAUCAUAAUAGAUAAUAUCAUCUAAAGAACUUGGUCACUAGAUCUCAUGUUACUCAUUUGCACAAGUUGCUUGCACUUGUUCUCCAAGUUUCAAGCCAUAACAACAAAAGAACUUAUGACUUCUGUGCCUCAAAACUCACAGACUCACAACCACCAGUCUCCAAAACUAUUCACACACACAACACCACAACAAGUCUUGAGGCUACAUGAGUCCACAAAAUUAUGAAGACAUGCAUAGACUCAUGAAGAACAAAGUAGAAGAAACAACAUAUUCCAAGUUUCGACACUAUAAACAACAUCAAUAGUAUAAUUACAACCAAUUUUCAGACAGUAGCAUUUUGCACCUGCAGACAGUAGCACAUUUAUAUUCUCACAUUCUCAAAUUCAAAACACACAAACAUUCCAAGUUAAUGCAGUAGCAACUACAAAUUAAAUGCACAUUCAUACAUAAUUACCUUGUUGUUUUUGUCCAUAUCCUUGUGUACGAAAGCUGCUAUUGUCCUGUAAAAUGUGAAAAUCACACCAAUAGAGCAUGCUUCCCCACCUUCAACACAAUUACAUUCAUAAAAUCAUUAGAGCCUGCUACUUCCAUAAAUCAAAUUGUACUGCUACUUCCAUAAAACGAAAGAUGCUACUGAUUUUCUCCCAAUCAAAGCAAAAUUAGAGGAAUCGUUUCGAUAUUGAAGGAAACAAGGUUACUGCUACUGGUUUUCUCCCAAAAACGAAACCAAAGACCAAAAACGAACCAGAACAGUAGCAGAGAGAGAAAGAAGAGCAGUAGCAUCACUUACCAGAGGAUGAAGGCGAGAAAACUCUAGGUGCGGUGAGAGGAGACGGAAGAAAGGAGACGCUGUGUUUGCUACUGAACCAGAAUUAGGAAUUUCGGUGAGAGGAGAAGGCGAGAAAAGAAAUUGAACCAGAACUGUAACAGAGAGAGAAAAAGAGCAAUAGCAUCACUUACCAGAGGAAUUGCAGAGAGAGGAUAAAGAAGAUGAAGGCGAGAAAACCCUAGGCGCGGUGAGAGGAGACGGAAGGAAGGAGACGCUGCGUUUGCUACUAAACCAGAAUUGGGAUUUUCGGAUCCUUUAUGCGUAGUGGCAUCUAUGUAAUUAAAAAAAACGCUACGGUUUUUAGGUCAUUUGCAAACGCGUUUGUGGAUCAGGCCUGGUGCCAUGGACUAUGGGCCCGAGGCUCAUGUAAUCUGUUAGAAAAUUAUUGGAAAUGGGAUUUUUGUGAUUCUAAAUUUGGUCAUGUGCUACUCUGUAAUUUCUUUUAUAUUUUAUCGAACGUUUGUCUUGUAUGACUGGGAUUACAUGUAUUAUGGACCCAAAAAUGAAUGGUUGAGAUUGAUUCUUACUAAUAAAAUAUUCGUCAAUGAAUAUUAACCGUGGGCAACCGAAUCCGUUUCGGGAUUCAUAAUAGCAGAUUAGCAGGCUAGCAGCUAUCUCAUCAUGCAUACAAUGUUUUUCUUUUUUAACAAGGAAUUAAGAAUGGCUUAAACACAACAUGUUUUUCUUUAAUGAUAAAAAAAAAAAAAGAUAAACUUGAUGAAGUGAAAUAGGUUUAAGAAUAGAGAAUCGUGAAAGAUGUGUGUAUUAUUCAUUGAUAAGACCCCUUUAUAUAGGGAAUUACACAAUACCAAUAAGGUAAGGAUAUGAAUACAUAGAUCUAGUCAAACUACAUAUCCUAAUGGCAUAAGGCCAAGGCACACAUAAAGAAUAUCCUAGAACACUCCCCCUUGUACCGCGUGCUGAUAUGCCAAUGGUGCUGAUCUGUUGCCUCGUCAAAAACCUAGUCAAGUCACAAAAACCUUGUGGGAGAAAACUGAACCUUGAUCGUAGGAGAAAAAGAGUACAACGUACCAGCCUACUUCAUUGAGAUGAUACUCCCCCUGAUGUGAACAUUAUACAGAGAGACUUGAUAGCCGACGCAUGCCUAUACUUUUCACAUGUUUCUCAAAAGUAGACUUAGGUAAGGACUUAGUAAAUAAGUCUGCUGUGUUUCCUUAUGAAGUAAUCUGAUUCACUUGAAUGCUAAGGAACGCCUGUUGCUGUUGGUUGUAGAAGAACUUAGGUGAAAUGUGCUUUGUAUUAUCACCCUUGAUGUAACCUAACUUCAUUUGCUCAAUACAAGUUGCAUUGUCCUCAUAAAUGCAUGUAGGUUUAUCAGUUGUAGAAUUUAAUCCACUAGUCCCUCUAAUGUGUUUAAUGAUUGACCUUAACCAAACACAUUCCCGAACAGCUUCAUGCAAAGCUAUAAUCUCUGCAUGAUUUGAAGAUGUCGCCACUAGAGUCUGCUUUGUAGACCUCCAAGAUAUCGCCGUAUUCCCAAUGGUGAAUACAUAACCAAUUUGAGAACGUCCUUUAUGAGGACCGGAUAAAUAUCCGGCAUCGGUGAAACCCACCAAUGUAUUAUUUGGUGUCUCGGCAUAGGACAAGGCGGCGGUGGCGUGCUCGGCAUUGGACCCGUGUCCAGCAGCCGUGCCGACGGCGUCCAUGGCGGCGAUCCGGUCCCUUGGUGGAUCGGUGCCGUGUCUUCCAUGAGCCAUAGGACCAUCUUCUAUCCUUGAAUUAGUGUAGGGAAAGAACAGUCCCAAGUCAAUGGUACCCUUAAGGUAUCGAAAGAUGUUCUUGACACCGAUCCAAUGACGUUGGGUUGGCACUGAGCUAAAUCUAGCUAACAAGUUGACUGAGAAUGCAAUGUCUGGUCGAGUGCAUUGAGCUAAGUACAAUAACGCGCCUAUUUCACUAAGGUAUGGAACCUCUGCGCCCAAGACCUCUUCGUUGUCCUCUUUCGGACGGAAUGGAUCCUUAGAUAUAUUCAGACUUCGACCAAUCAUGGGAGUGCUAACAGGGUGCAUCUUGUCCAUAUUAAAUCGCCUGAGCAUCUUUUGGACAUAUGUAGACUGGUGGAUAAGAAUUCCACAAACUCGGUGCUCUAGUUCAAGACCUAAGCAAAAUUGAGUCUUCCUAAGAUCUUUCAUCUCAAACUCGGAUUUCAGAUAAGCCGCGGUCUCUUUGAUUUCAUCAAGAGUACCGAUAACAUUUAUGUCAUCGACAUAGACGGCCACUAUUGCAAAUCCGGAACUUGUCAUCUUUAUGAACACGCACGGGCAUAGUUCAUCGUUCUUAUAUCCCUCCCUAAUCAAGUAGUCACUUAGACGAGUAUACCACAUUCGUCCAGAUUGCUUUAAUCCGUAAAGUGAGCGUUGCAACCUUAUAGCAUACGCACUCCGUGGUUUAGAGUCACUUGAUUUAGGAAACGUAAUGCCAUCAGGCACUUUCAUAUAUAUCUCUGAAUCUAGAUCCCCAUAGAGAUAUGCCGUAACCACAUCCAUGAGCUGCAUGUCAAGUUUUUCGGACACUACCAACUGACUAAGUAGCGGAAAGUUAUGACGUCCAUGACCGGAGAGUAAGUCUCUUCGUAAUCAAUCCCAGGGCGUUGUGAGAAACCUUGCGCCACAAGGUGGGCCUUAUACCGAAGUACCUCAUUCUUCUCAUUACGCUUUCUAACAAAGACCCAUUUAUGUCCAACAGGCUUUACACUCGGCGGAGUUAGCACUACUGGGCCGAAGACCUGUCUCUUUGAUAGAGAGUCUAAUUCUGCCUGGAUUGCAACUUUCCAUUUAGGCCAAUCUGCUCUGCUUUGGCAUUCUGCAACAGAGCGUGGUUCGAUGUCAUCGUGCUCAAUGAUUUCAUGAGCCACGAAAUAAGCAAAUAUAUCAUCGACACGGGUUGAUGACCGGUUCAUCAAUUCAUAAGUGUUAUCAUAACACAUGGAGAUCUCUAUGUUCUCUGAUGUUGACAUUGACCCUGAGGCGUCCCUCAUGGAUUCUAACAUCAAUUCGUGGACAUAACUGUAAUAAAAGAUGAUCUCGUGAGAAGGAUUCUCAACAUCGAUGAUCAAAGGAUUGACUCGUGCCUUGUCGGUCCGUUUCUUUCUCGGACGUGUGUCAACCGAACCAGGUGGCCUCCCCCUUUUCCUUUGGGGAGCCACGGCCUCCAUCCCCCCACCAUGGGUGGCGCCGGCGCCGGCGGCAAUACUCAGCCCAGGGAUGGCCGUGCCCUUUCUAGGGACUUCGAACCUAGCAGGAACAUUUGCAGCUGGUAUAUCUGAUCUUGUCACUUUCGCAAUCUCGGAGAAAGAGUCAAGCAUCGUAUCUGCUACUUUCUGAAGUUCGAGAAUACGUUUCACUUCACUUUCAGUUUGUGAGGUGCGGGGAUCAUAAUGAGACAAAGUGGGGACAAACCACGACAAUUCCUGUCGUUCCACAUGAACACGUUUGUUCGUAUCUCCCCCUAACGACGGGAAGAAUGUCUCAUCAAAGUGACAAUCCGCAAACCGUGCGGUAAAGAGAUCACCUGUUAAUGGCUCAAGGUAUCUGAUAAUCGUUGAAGAUUCAUAACCAACGUAGAUACCUAAUCGUCUCUGAGGACCCAUCUUAGAACGCAGUGGAGGCGUAAUUGGCACAUAAACCGAACAACCGAAAAUGCGUAGAUGCGAAAUGUCAGGCUCAUAUCCAGUGACCAACUGGUAUGCACUAAAUGGUUGCUUAGCAGUGGGUCUGAAACGAAUAAGUAAGGCUGCAUGCAAUAUUGCAUAGCCCCAUGACGCAAUAGGGAGGUUGGUGCGCAUUACCAACGCUCAAGCAAUGAGCUGAAGCCGCUUAAUUGUAGCUUCGGCGAGACCGUUUUGCGUGUGAACAUGAGGUACGAGAUGUUCAACCUCAAUCCCGAUAGACAUGCAAUAGUCAUCAAAAGUCUUUGAUGUAAAUUCUUCAGCGUUAUCCAGUCGAAUUGACUUAAUUAGAUAAUCCGGGUGGUGAGCCCGAAGUUUAAUAAUCUGUGCUAGGAGUUUUGAAAAUGCAGCAUUAUGUGUGGACAAGAGCGCAACAUGAGUCCAACGCGUUGAAGCAUCCACCAGGACCAUAAAGUAUCGAAAUGGUCCACAUUCAGGAUGGAUAGGUCCACAAAUAUCACCUUGGAUACGAUGUAAAAAUUGAAUGUUCUCGGUAUUAUCUUUAGCGUAAGACGGUCUCGAUACUACUUUCGCUAAAGAGCAAGCUUUGCAAAACGAACGAUGAGAGUUGGAAAGAGUCAACGACACAUCAAGGGAAGAACGGCGCGCCUCAAUUGCUUGAGGGGUCGACCGAGUGGCAGCCAGGAAGUUGGUGCCUAGCCCGGGAGACGUCAAAGUCCCCUUUGGGCCGUGAUGGCCAUUUGUGGCGUCACCAUUAUGAUGCAAAGAUCCCAAAUGUUUUCGUUUUGAUCUAAAGAAGGGAUGUCCAUGAGAAUUAUGCAGAAUUCGGAUCAUCAUGUCCCUUCCGGGAUGACCAAGUCGAUCAUGCCAAAGCUUGUAUGAGUCAGAGUCCCAAAGAUCCUGUUUGGCGACUACAUGGGAUUCAAUAAUCCAAAUCGUAGUAAGGUAAAGACCACUAGAUUGACUCAUAAGUUUCUCCAAUAUACGUUUACGUCCGUAAUCAUGAGAAGUAAUACAUAAGAACUCAGUUCCAUCUUCACAAUGAGUUUCCAAGUGAAAGCCAUUAGCGCGAAUGUCCUUAAAGCUCAACAAGGUUCGGUGCCCUUUUGGGGCAUAGAGAGCGUCCGUUACAUGGAUCAUAGUGCCAUGAGGCAGAAAAAAACGAGCGGUUCCACGCCCGAGGAUCACAGGAGAAGAUCCAAUCAUUGUCGUCACAGAUGAUUUACAUGGCACUAACUCAAUAAAUAGUUACCGGUUCCUUAGAAUGGUGUGGGUUGAACCAUUAUCUGCGAGGCACUCGAUCUCUCCAAGAGACAUACCUACAAAAUAGAGUAGAUAUAUGAGUAAAUAGGUCAAUAUCGAGCCAUUUAGAAGGAUUGAAAAAGCUAAAAGUAGCAACAAUCCCGAGAGUGCUGAAAAUUUUUCGCGCAGAAUGACCUUUGCGCACUAAAACAGUCAUAACUCCUUCGUUAAAAUAGAUAUGGACAAACCCCGCAAAAUGUUCUGAAAACUAGACUCGUAGAGCUUUCCAAUGAUAUAAAGCUCACUGUCUAGUUCGUCCGGAGCUGCUCACAAAGCUCAAACGAAGUGACUGUCCAGGGAGGACAGAUUACUGUUUUUUGCAGAUUUGGCAUUAGCGAAGCUUUUGAAGCUUGCCGGUGGCAUGGAGGCGUAUGCUCGGCCACAGGGACGUGUUGAUGAUCAAAUCCUGGUCCUGAGAACCUAGAGGAUUCGAUGAUGGUCCGGUUGUGCCAAGUCUUUAACGUCUUUUACAAGACGGCAAUUGGAGUAAUAGCGUAAAGGGAAUCCAAAAUCAAAAGCUUUCGGUAGCUCCAAAUUAAGUAUGACCAGACAUGUCCGUGGAGGGUUGGUAGUGCGAGACACACUUAAACCACUAGCUCCUUAAUUUCGGACAAUUCUAAGACAUCAUACUAACUUGGAUGAGCCUAGUUGAACAAUUGAUGAUGGAAAAUCCGCUAUAGGGGAAAAGACUUGAACCGAAAAACACGUUAGUAACCCUCCUUGAGAGUCACGGCGUUGAUGCCAUGUAGAUGUAAAUCAAUUCGAACCAAAUAGAGACAAGAAGAACCAAAAUGAAAACUUUCAUUAAUGCGCUGAAAAGAGUACAUAAGGGUCUCAAAAAAAAAAUUAGAGAAGAAAACUAAGCAUGGCAUGCUAACGAUGCCUUAUUACAUCAUGACUUGUAAAAGAGAAAACAAUCUUAGCCGGUGACAUCAAAGUCAGGGGCAUGUAAGUCAGAACAUUGUCCAUUGGGGUCUGCGACCUUGAAGGUAACAUUAUGUUCAACUCCAUUGUUUUCAAUGGAAUUGACUUCCAUCAAUUCCUUGUAUUUCUUGUAUGCGGCAACAACAUUUGCAGAAGCGCAACAGCUUUUAUACUAGUGGUCCUUGGACCCACAUCUGUUGCAUUGACCGUCAAAGGCAGAAGAAGAGCGAACUUGCUGCUUCCGAGGAGGAGCGGCACCGGUGUCUCGACGCCAAGUGUUGGUUCGGCCACUAAAGCCACUACCUUGUCCCCGAGAAUCAGAGGCACGGUGGUACUGAGUCCCACGUGCAUAAGGUUCAUUCCGAUGUUGAUCCUUGCGUUUCGGAGCUUUCUGACUCCGCUUGCUGUUGUAAUUAGAUUCCGGAAUUUUUCGAGUGCCUACAAGAUGCAAAUUAUGCUGAUCAUUGAUCAUGUUAUUCUUUUCUUCCAUAAGGAGUUGCGUCAUUAAGCCGCUAAAUGUAGUAAUCCUCUUAUUUGUGAACUCAAGCCGAUAUUGGUUCAUAAGGAUCUUAGCAGCUGAAGGGAAGGUCGAGAAAGUUUUUUCGAUCAUGUCGGCAUCACUUUUCUCGACUCCACAUGAGCUCAGUUGAGCUUGUAGGCAAAGCAUAUCCCUGUUAAAGUCAUCAACCUUCUUGUAAUCCAAAAGUCGGAUUUCAUCCCAGCGAGCAAUUAGUUCUGGGAGCAAGGUCGAGUGAAUGUUGCUGAAGCGUUCGGCAAGGGCAUCCCACAGAUCUUUUGGAUCGUGCUUUGAUUGAUACUGUCUGCGCAGUGUGGGAUCGAUAUGCUUACGAAGGAACAUGAGCGCCAGAGAUUUAGUUCUCUUAUGAGGCGGUUCCUGAGCUGGAUCGGGGAAGAUGGUCUCGGUCAGAUCCUUAGCGAUGAAGGUCUGCUCUAUGUCCGAGACCCAGCGAUGGUACUCGGUACCAUGGGCGUCAAGGACGUCGAAUUCAAUGCCUCUGUCCAUCUGCAUACAAGAGAGAACAAGUCGUAUUAGUUUUCUGUUAGAGACCCUAAAAAGGAUACUCAAAUACGAUGCUUUUGGUUUGUCUCUCUAGGGUUGAUCAAACACAACCCUAAACGUCCGGAGUCGAUCAAACACGACCCGGAAAACUUGUGUGAAGGUGAUCAAACACACCUUCAAAAUAGCAAUAACCAAAGUUGAUCAAACACAACUUUGGACCCGGGGAGGACAACCGGGAUUUGUAAACCUGCAAAUACACCGACCCAAGCAUGGAAUGGAGUAGAAGAAGAGGAGAAAGCACUUUAUCUCCCCCGAGGUUAUUAAACUUUGAAGAGUUUUAGGGUUGUAAAGAAAACAUACCGUAAAACUUGAAUGCUUGAUCGAAUGAGAGAGAAAGCAGUGGAGCGGACGACCGGGAAGCGGCAGUCGGAGGGCGACGGCGGCGGUGGCAGCAGCGGUGGCGGCCGAAGCAGGGCCGAAAGUCUUCGGCUUUGGUUUUAGGGUUUGGAAAAAAUAUUAGCUCAAGGGUUGAGUAAAGGGCUAAUAACGUGAUGAAGUGAAAUAGGUUUAAGAAUAGAGAAUCGUGAAAGAUGUGUGUAUUAUUCAUUGAUAAGAGCCCUUUAUAUAGGGAAUUACACAAUACCAAUAAGGUAAGGAUAUGAAUACAUAGAUCUAGUCAAACUACAUAUCCUAAUGGCAUAAGACCAAGGCACACAUAAAGAAUAUCCUAGAACAAAACCAAAAUAUAAACCAAAAAAAAAAAAAAUGAAAACAAACUAUAAAACACGUAUAAAUACUCAAGCACAAUAUAAAAUUUUUGGAUUAAAUACUCGAGCACAAUAUAAAAUUUUUGGAUUGACCGCAAAAGAUCAAAUACUCAAAUCAAUAGAUUUUCCAGUCUUUUUACAAAUUUCAAAUGCAUCGAACUUGGAUACACACUUUCAACAAGGUAUUAGAUCCAACAUCAAACUUGCUUGAAUCACCUAAAACAUGAUACAAGCUUAACUAUUUAUUACAUGACAAUACAAACAAAACUUAUAUAUAGUCUUAUACUAAUCUCACAACAAUAGACAGAAUUCAAAAUCUAAAGACACCAGCAAACCCAGGAAAAAUACUGACCGUACUCUUCACCACAGCCCCAACACCAAACCAAAGGACAGUCACAUGAAAAGCACCCGAACCAAAAAAGAAUGAAAAUAUGUACCCCCCAAAAGUGCAUUUUAUUCUUUGAUUUUCUUAUCUUAUCAAGUCUUCCUUUGCCAACGAGCCAUUCUCACUGCGAUGGCCAAUUCUGUCCUCUCUUGUAUGUUAUCAAAGAAACGGAAAUAGGCAUACCUCCAUGAUUUCUUCAUAACCAAUGAGCCACAAACACUCCAAAACCCUAUGAUGAAGCCGAGUGCACCGCUAACAUACAUACCAAACUUCCGAUUCUCAUCAUCAUCAUCAUCAUUAUGAUCAUCAUCGUCAGGUUCAGCUGGUGCGGGUGCGGCGUCUCCCGGGCAGAGAGUUGAAAGAGGAACCCCACACAAGGAUGGAUUGCUCUCGUAAAUGGAUGAAUCAUUGAGUGUUUGAAGUUGGUUACCUGAAGGAAUUCUUCCGGACAAGUUGUUGUCAGACAAGUUCAAGUGAGACAAAGAGGUUAAUGAAGAGAGACUGUGUGGAAUAUGUCCGGAGAGGUGAUUGUGCGAGAGAUCAAGAGUUUCAAGCCAUCUCAACUUUCCAAUCUUUAAGGGAAUGUUUCCGGUUAGAUGAUUACGGACAAGUUCAAUGUCCCCAAGGCAAUGAGGCUGCUUAUACCUUCAGGGAUUUCGCUAUCUAAGUGAUUUGAUGAGAAAUCAAUGGUAUUCACCAAAGGCAGAGUCUUGUUAUACACCAGUUCUUGUCCCUUCAAUGUCAAGGUGGUAGCCUCAUGAUAAUCAGAAAAAGAGGAGGGAGAGCUGCUUAGCCUCAUGAAUGGACCCAUUCAUAAGAUUCCACCAGCAAAAAGGCACCCAAGUAGUACAGAAACUGCUUCAUGAACUGCUCUUGGUCCUAAACUCCUUAACUUCACGCCAUCACGCAACAUUUCAUCAAAACAAAAAAUCAGUAAAAAGUUUCCUACUUGAUCACAAUUUCACAGCAAUAGAGAAAGAGAGAGGGAGUGACUGGCGAGGGCAUUGUAGAAGUCACGGCCGAGGAAAUUGAAGCCGACGCUGAUUCCGGUGGUGGCGAGAGUGAGAAGGAACACUCCGCCGAGCUGCAUCCUCGCCUGGACUUUGUCAUCGGAGGACCAGUACGGCGCCGCCACCUUCCAGAAUCUCCGGAGCAGUAGAGAUUGGAGGGUUAUGCGGUGAAGGAGUGUUGGGGUUGAAUAUCUUGGGUUAGAUGAUAAGAUGAGUUCUUUUCUGGGUUUCGAGGGAUCUGGAGAGAGGGGGUGGUUGGUAGGGGAGGGUGAGUCAACUCGGCGAGUCGGUGAACGUGAAUUUACCUCUUUUACCUCCAUGACUUUUUCUAUUUUUUUUAUUCAACGUCUGUCUUGUACGGCUGGGAUUACAUGUAUUAUAUAUGGACUCAUAAAUGAAUGGCUGAGACUGAUUCUUACUAAUAAAAUAUUCGUAAGUGAAUAUUAACCGUGGGAACCGAAUCCGUUUCGGGAUUCAUAAUAGCAGAUUAGCAGGCUAGCAGCUAUCUCACCAUGCAUACAAUGUUUUUCUUUUUUAACAAGGAAUUAAGAAUGCUUGAACACAACAUGUUUUUCUUUAAUGAUGAAACAAAAUAUGAAAAAAACUAUAAAACACGUACAAAUACUCGAGCACAAUAUAUAAAUUUUUGGAUUGACCGAAUAAGAUCAAAUACUCAAAUCAAUAGAUUUUCCAAGUCGUUUUACAAGUUUCAAAUGCAUCGAACUUGGAUACACACUUUCAAUAAGGUAUUAGAUCCAACAUAAAACUUGCUUGAAUCAUCUAAAACAUGAUACAUGUUUAACUAUUUAUUACUUUAUUACAUGGCAAUACAAACCAAACUUAUAUAUAGUCUAAUACUAAUCUCACAACAAUAGACAGAAUUCAAAGACACCAGCAAACCCAGGAAAAAUACUGGCCGUACUCUUCAUCACAGCCCCAGCACCAAAGGGCAGUCACAUGAAAAGCACCCGAACCAAAAGAGAAUGAAACAAUGUACCCCUCUUAUCUUAUCAAGUCUUCCUUUGCCAACGAGCCACUCUCACUGCGAUGACCAAUUCUGCUCUCUCUUGUAUUUUGUCGAAGAAUCGGAAAUAGGCAUACCUCCAUGAUUUCUUCAUAACCAAUGUGCCACAAACACUCCAAAACCCUAUGAUGAAGCCGAGCGCACCGCUAACAUACAUACCAAACUUCCGAUUCUCAUCAUCAUCAUCAUCAUCAUCAUUAUGAUCAUCAUCGUCAGAGUCAGCUGGUGCAAGUGCGGCGUCUCCCGGGCAGAGAGUUGAAAGAGGAACCCCACACAAGGAUGGAUUGCUCUCGUAAAUGGAUGAAUCAUUGAGUGUUUGAAGUUGGUUACCUGAAGGAAUUCUUCCGGACAAGUUGUUGUGAGACAAGUCCAAGUGAGACAAAGAGGUUAAUGAAGAGACACUGUGUGGAAUAUGUCCGGAGAGGUGAUUGUGCGAGAGAUCAAGAGUUUCUAGCCAUCGCAAGUUUCCAAUCUUUAAGGGAAUGUUUCCGGUUAGAUGAUUUCUGGACAAGUUCAACGUCCCCAAGGCAAUAAGGCUGCUUAUACCNNNNNNNNNNNNNNNNNNNNAACGAGUUCGAUCGCAAUUGGAUCCUACGUAAGUUGCAUGACAAAGGUGAUCUUGUCUGUAGAGGUAGAGGUAUGCCUCCUGUAAAUUUAUUUCCUGCAAGAUCAAUACUCACCAACUCUGUGCAAUUUUGGAAUAAGGAAGAAGGAAUUUGACCCGUGAAAUUGUUGUUGCUCAGAUUCAAUACCCAUAGUGAGCUCGGGACACCCAUUGAACUGGUGAUAUUGCCGGUCAAAUCGUUGUAUGAGACAUCUACAGCUUGUAUAUAUGGCCACGUACUCCAUGCUCGAGAGAAGUCUCCAGACAAGUGAUUGCUUCUUAAAAUAAGGAAUCUCAAACUUGACAUGUUGCAUAAAGAGGGUGGUAUACUACCACUCAGGUUAUUGUCAGAAAGAGACAAUUCUUCCAAAUUAGGCAACAGUUGAUCAUAGUUUGAGGGAAUUGGCCCGGAAAAAGAGUUGCUUCGAAGAUCGAGAUAGGAGGCAGGACUAGACCAUUGUGGCAGAGGGCCCUCAAAUUCAUUAUGAUUCAGAUCUAUAUAAUACAAAGAUGGGGAGUUCAUGUGAAAUGGAAGCUUUCCACGGAUUUGGUUGUUGGACAAAUCCACACAUGUGAGUUUGGAAGAUAUCGUCAAGAACCAUUCCUCUGGUAUGGAGUCUGAUAUUCCAGUAUUUCUGAGCCUGAGAUGCGUUAAUUCAGUUUGAGAUCGAAGCCACAUCCCAAAGGCAGGACCUACUCUGCAGUUAACAAUGUCGAGUGAAUCAAGCUGGAAAGGAGGAACCCAGUCAUGAGCCACAUUCAAACUGAGGGAGAAAGGUUGCUGUGUGCUUAUACCAAAAGUCUCUAACUUGGUGAGAGUUCGGAAAUGGACUUCUGUUAAAAUGCCUUCCCACGAAUUCAAAGAUAGAUCUAGGUGAACUAGCUGAGAGAGUUGUCCCAAACUUGCAGGAAUGGACCCAUUCAUAUGAUUCGAAGAUAGAUCUAGGUGAACUAGCUGAGAGAGUUGUCCCAAACUUGCAGGAAUGGACCCAUUGAUAUCAUUCGAAGAUAGAUCUAGGUGAACUAGCUGAGAGAGUUGUCCCAAACUUGCAGGAAUGGACCCAUUCAUAUCAUUCCAAGAGAUGGCCAGUUUUUCCAAGGAUGAUAAAUUACCAAUAAAUUCUGGAAUUGAACCAUAAAAUUUGUUUACACUAAGGUCAAGUUCCUUCAGAUUUUCUAGCACUCCUAAGGCGGCAGGCAGUUCACCUUCUAUCUGAUUGAUGGACAAAUCAAGCGACUCUAGUCUGUGACUUGUGCAGUUUGAGAAGCCAUUCAAAACCUCUUCCAAACCACCACUGAACGAGUUUUCAGAAAGAUCUAAUAUCCUUAGGCUGCACAAUCUACCAAAGACUUUGGGAAUUUGACCUUGGGCAGAAUUGCCCCAUAAAUUAAAGUCUUCCAAAGACUUGAGGUUUGCAAGUUCAACAGGGAUGGGACCGAACAAAUUGCCAGAUGCAUCAAGUUUUUUGAGGUUGGUAAGAUUUAAAAACCAGCUGGGAAAUGAAGAAUUAAUAUCAUUGAAUGAUAUAUCAAGAACCAAUAGGGAUGUGAAGUUUACUGAUUGCAGCUGCUGGGAGUGUGGAAGCUUUUGAAUUUGGCAACUAGUCAGAUGCAAUUCUAAGAGUGAAGGAAGCAUGUUGACAUCAUGUAGCCAACUUACUCCUGUGCUGCUGAGGUUCACAUAUCUAAGAUUGAGGUACUUUAGGGAAGAGAGAUGAGAAAGCCAAUUCAAGUUAUUGGAAGAAUAACCUUCAUAGUAGUAAUUAGUAUUGAGGUCAAGAUAGUUCAAGUUUGAGAGGUUACCAAGAGCUGGGGGAAUCUCUCCCUUAAAUGAAGCAGAGGAGAGAUUAAGAUACCUCAAACUUGUAAGCUUCCCAAAGAAAUCAGGAAUUCGGAGUCCUCCAAAAUCAUUUCCGCUUAGGUCAAGGCUAUACAACUUCUUUAAGCUAAGCAAAGAAGGAUUGAUGUUACCCCCCAAAGAAGUAUUCCCGUUGAGUGGAUCAUAAUUCGGGUUCCGGAGGUCCAUCUUUGCAACGUGGCCUGUACGGUUGUUGCAUGAAAUCCCUUUCCAUCGACAGCAAUCUAGACCCACCCAAGAUAAAAGCCUGCCGGAACUAUCAUUAACAUCUGCUUUGAAGCUGAGAAGAGCUCGUCUCUCUUCCUCGAUGCAUGAUGCACUCGGAAGUCCAUCACCCAAACACAGUUGAGUAGUACCGUGCAGAUGUGAAGAUGCCAGAAAAAGAAAGAGCAAGUAGUGAGCAAUAAUUUUGAUGAGGAAGCCGUAGCUGGUAGGCUUGAAUAGGCUUGCACACAAGCUAUCCAUGAUUAUACAAAUAUUUUCUUCAACUUUGUGAUAUGUAUAGAAAUAAUAGAAUUCUAAACCGAAUUUAAUGUUGUACCGAAUAGUCUGAAAUGAAUUGGUGUCCAGGUAUUCUAAAGUCAUCCAAUUUAAUGCUGAAGGAAUCGAUACUGGAACUGAACAUGACAUCUCCAUCAAGUAGCGAGAAUUACAAACACCAGUUUAUCUGGUUAAGUUUGAUAAGCGAAGGCAGAUGGAUUAGCAACUCUAAGUUAAAACCAGCAACUGAAGGCAGCAACAGGUGGAUUGAUAUCUGCCCAAAAACUUAGCAAUUAAAUUCUGAUGCACACAAUUGGUUAGACCACAUGUAAAUAAACUCUAGAAUCUUGAGAAACAUAAUCUUAAAUAUAUACCAUAUCUAUCAGGGUGGUUGUACCGGCAAGUGGCCCCAUACUUGCAACUGAUUUAAUAAAACAAAAGCCAUUGUGACUUCUCGGUCAUCUAUAGUAAUCAUAUUCUAACAACAAAAGAAGACAUAACUGACCUUCCAGUCUUCAGGUAGAAUGGACAAUCAGCUUCACCCUGGUAGAAACAACAGACACAUGAUCAGCAAAGCAAUAUUAUCAUGAAGCUGAUACUGCAAUUUUGAAGAGGCUCAAUCAUCUGUACUAGUACAUACUGGUCUCACAGGAAGCUCUUAGGAAUUAUAUAAUAGUGCUGGAGUGAAUGAAACAAGAGGCUUCACAGCAACUUCACUGCUCUCCGUCUUAAGAGCUGUCUCAGUUUCGGCAGAUUUAUUCUCUUGAGUGGUUGAUGGUAUCUGGAUGUCUUUUGGGUGAUUAAAUUUGCAGGUUGCACCAUACUUGCAUUGCCCAGUUUUCAAGUAGAACUGUGUAGAUUUAUUUUUUGGUCCAAAUCAACAUAUUUUAUAGAUAGAUAAUACACAUUACAAAAGUAUGGGAUAGAUAUCUCACUGCACAUGGGGGUUCAGAAGGCCUCUCAGGUAGGGCAUUAACAUCACCAUUUUCCGAAGCACCCUGAAACCAGAGUAUGGUAUCAUAUCAUUAUAACUACAGUGAGCAAGUCUGGAUAAUAAUUAAAUCUUGGCAUCCUAAUACUUACCGCAGUAGCCAGUUUGUCCUUUGGAUGAUUAAACUUGCAUUUAAGACCAAACUUGCAUCUUUGAGUUUUCAGAAAGUACUACGAGAUAUAGAAUGGCAGGGUAUAUGUGAGCUGUUUAACUGUUUAAGUCCUUAAACACAUUAUAUAGAUAAAAAAGAAUAAAAAAAUGCUACUCACUGGACAAUCUGGCGCUCCAGGUCUUUCAGGAAGGGACUCACUUGGAGCAGCAAGUGGAACCUAAAUGAACAAGAGAUCAAUUAUGUAUUUUAGCAAUAUAUCUUCAUUGGUUCUUUUGCCACAACUAAUAAGCAAACUGGAAAUAGCACACAAAGAACAAAAACAGUUGCAAACCAUUUUCUAAGCUUAACAGAUAGUCAAUGAAGAAUUGAAGAUGGUACAAAUAGGCAGAAACCAAACACUAAGUAGACCAGCCUAAUUACUUGCCAGAAAACAAAAUAAAAAAUUAUAAAGUUGAGCUACUACCACAACAGAAGGCUCGUCUAAACAUGUACGUAUGUAGGUUAACCAUCAGAUGGAAACUCAGCUUACAUGGAAUAACCCUAUGUAUAGGGAUGAAAUGGAACAUAGGCUUAAUGAAGAAACUAUUAUACUCUUGUUAUCACACAAUUGAUAGUGAUGAAAUUGAAACCCCUUUUUUACAUUAUAUAGGUGAAGCAAAGGAAUAUGCCUACAAAGACGUUAAGCUUUUAGGCAAAACAAAAACAAAUAUUAUUGACCUACUAACCGGCUCGACGUGCAAUAUUUAUCAUCAACUAGCGAAUUGCUAAUGGUCUAAUGGAGCUUCCAAUCCUCAAUGAAUUGCCACACCCUUCACAUGACCAAUAAGGCAAUAACCAACUCAUACAUGACAAACACAUAAAGAUAAAAGCACCUUCUCCACUUGUGUACCAGUACAACCCUACAACCAAUCUGAACAGUUGAUCCAUAGCUUCAAGCCUUCAUGUUAGCUCCACAGCAUCUUGAAAAUAAAUGCAGGAUCACCUCCAAAUUACCAAAAAGCCCCUCAUGAAUUUUGAUGAGAAUGGUAUUUCAGACAGACUACCCAUGAGGAAUCUCAAAACUCAGACCUAGUGAAUAUGCAUGCAAAUCCAAAGCAAAAGGUGGGUGCAUCAAACUUAUGUCACUUGAGGGAUCUACACAACGAGACAUUCUACCAGAUAUACAAAAUCAAGACAUGGGGGGCUCUUUACCUAAGCAAUGAUCAUGAGUGAACAUCCAUCAAUUCACUCACUGAAAAAUGUCCUUAAAUAGUUAAAUAUGCUUCAGACAGUUCGUGACUAAUCAACAGAGAUCAGUCUGCUCAUAUAUAGAUAGACUUUUACAGAAAUUGAGAUGAUACUAGAUUUUCAACAGGUGUUUUUCAAAAAUAAAAAGUUAAAAAUUAACCAGAAGACAAAAUAGAUAAGUUUUAUCUCUUAAUGACCCACAGGGUAAGAGGAAUGAGUGAAUGACCUACUAUGGAAAACUAAGAAGAGUACAUAAUUUCCCAACGCUGGACUUUUUGCAGAAAAUAUAGCAGGUAUAGAAACUAUAAAACAGAUAUAGCUAUAAAAGUAAAGAAUAAGUUACAAUUCAUACUACAUAACAGUAGAUAUUAUAGGAAGCUAGAAACAUAUUCAAAUAACUCUAAAAAAAGUAUCUAUCCGUACCUUAAAAAACCAAACAGCUUACAGGAUAUGAUCAAUCCAUUCAUAAGCUUAGCGAAAUUAUAUAGAAUUGAUUAAUUAUUUUAAUAAAUGUACUUCAUAGUACUUGUAUAUAAUACGGUAAAAGUCAUAAAGCUAUAAGUAUAGGCAUAAGAUAUAAUAAUAAGCAGUCACAUCUUUCCAAUCUGGGAUUCCACCCUCAGGAACCCAAAUAGGAUGGUCAAACUUGCAGGCCUCUCCAAAUCAUACUCGGCGAUAAGCAAACUAUAAACACACAAUAUUAUACACACCCUAAAGCUAAUAGCUUUACAUAAUCAUUAGACAUAACACUCAGCAAAAUCUUAUAUUACUUUACAUAAUCACACUUCACACUUAACUAAAUCACCAAGCUAUAAACACAAUCACAUCAGUUCACAACACGAAAAGUUCGAAAACUUUAAGCAAAUUUGCAUCAAAUUCAAUUCAAAGAUUCAAACUUUCCAAUCAGCAAACAGAUAUGUACACUAGUGUGAGAGCUCACCAACCUUCAGAGGAGCGUUUGAAGCCAUUCUCUUGAUCGUAAUUCGGGUUUGGGAGGUCCAUCUUUGCAACGUGACCUGUACGGUUGCUGCAUGAAAUCCCUUUCCAUCGACAGCAAUCCAGACCCACCCAAGAUGAAAGCCUGCUGGAAGGAUCAUAAACAUCUGCUUUGAAACUGAGAAGUGCUCGUCCCUCUUCCUCGAUGCAUGAUGAUGAUCUCACACCACUCGGAAGUUCAUCUCCCAAACACACUUGAGAAGUACCGUGCAUGUAUGAAGAUGCCAGCAAAAGAAAGAGCAAGUAGCGAGCAACAUUGUUGAUGAGGAAGCCAGAGCUGGUAGGCUUGAAUAUCUUCGCACAGAAGCUAUCCAUGAUUACACACACUUUGGUUCAAACUUGUGGAAAUGUAUAAAAUUCUGAAACCGAGUAACAUUAAAUACUGAAGUCUGAAAGGAAUGGUAUCCUAAGUCAUCAACGACCCCGGCCCCUUUUUUAAGUUUCCAAGUCCACCCAUUCUACUGCUCGAGAGUCAUGAGCCAUAUAUACGUUGAAGGGAUACUGGAACUGAACAUGAAAGGUGCCUACAUCUCCAUCAAGUAGUUGCUAAGUUAGAAUCAAUGAGAUAAUUGUUAGGAAACUGCUGUGUCUUUGCUUAGUCAUGUGGAUGAUAUAUAUGAAACACAGACUUAACAAGAAAUAUGGAUUAAGGUCAUGAUUGGCACUAUACACGACUCUAGCUGUGAUUUUAGCCUCUACGAUUUUGGGUACAUGACUUUUGAAUUGUGAAUACUAGUAUAGCACUCGGUAAAAGGUUUGAUUGCUCAGGUAACGGUCAAUAUAAUAAUGCAUCAUCCAAGAUCUCCACCUCAAGGAAAGAGUUUCUCUCGCAUAAUCCCGCAACACAAAAAUCUGCAGCUAAUGUGGUAACAGGGAGCAAAUGCAUCAAUCAGACGAGAUCACUGUUGUAACACAAUUACAAAAGACAAAGCAUCAAACCUAAAGAUAAGCACAUGAACUCUAACGUAGCAGCCAAGAUGCAUCAAACUGCAAACUUAAUAUGCAUCUCGUAGUUAUAUAACUAAACAAAAUUAGCAUACUAAAAAUGAUGCUUUCUUUACUGCAUUCAAAAUAUAUAGUUCCAAAAAUGCACAAGGUAGCUGAAUUACACUCUAGUGAUCCAGCCUCAACAUAAAUCAGCAGUAAGCUACUCUAACUACAGAUAUUGCCGCAUUUAUGCAUUAUCACUAUCACUACUAGCCUUUGGUUUUUUUUUUUUUUUUUUUUCCCUUUACUGAGUUGGUUUAAUUUUUGGUGAUUACAGUCUUACAGAGGAAUUAAGUAUAAAGAAAACAAAACAAAUAAAAAGCAGAGGGGAUGAUACCUAAGCGAAAGAGCAGCGAUUGGUGCUCAUCGGAAUUCCACCAGCAAAGGCACCCAGGUAGUACAGCAAUUGCUUCAUGAACUGCUCUUGGUCCUUAUCUUCACAUCACCAUCACCAAAUUUCACCAAAAAUCCACAACCAAAAAAUCUAGUAUUUUUUUUUUUUUUACUUGAUCACAAUUUCACAUCACUACUCAAAACUACAGAAAGAGGGAGUGACUGGCGAGGGCAUUGUAGAAGUCACGGCCGAGGAAAUUGAAGCCGACGCUGAUUCCGGUGGUGGCGAGAGUGAGAAGAAACACUCCGCCGAGCUGCAUCCUCGCCUGGACCUUGUCGUCGGAGGACCAGUACGGCGCCGCCACCUUCCAGAAUCUCCGGAGCAGCGUCUGCAAAUCCGAACCUUCCCUUUGCUGCCAGAUUCAUCAAAUCAGAAUCACCAAACCAAACUUGCACUAACCAAAACUAGAGAAUCUACAGUAAUAAAGCACGCACCUUUUCCGGCGGAGUUGGCGGCGGCGGUUGUGGAACCGAGUCAGACGCGGCCGCGGCACAACGCCAUGAAGCGGCGUCGUUUCGUCUCCUUCUGAUUGGCAUUGUGUGGAGGGAUGAGGGAAGCGUGGGUGUUGUGACUACUAGUGAUUUAAUGUGAUGGUGGGAGUGGUGGGUGGAGUAGCCAUGAGUCAAGCACAGUGAGACGUAGAGAGUUUGAGCAGCCAGUGUUAUCAUUUUUUGUUUUAAAUUUCGUUUCUUUUUGUUACUGGGUUUUAUUUUCUGGUUAUGGUUUGGUACGGAUCCGGCUCCUUAAACUGAGGAGCCCGUAACAUUAGUUUAAGUUUAUAAAAUUCACACUUUUUAUCUAAUACUAAUUUUUAUACUCACGAUACUCGCGUAUGAAAACGUUGUUAAUAUGUAGUUUUCCUUUUCCUUUUGUGAAGUACGUUAAUAGGUAGCUGGAGUUUUUAGUAACAGAAAAUAAUUUAGUAGUGAUUCGUGUUUUAAUUGAGACUUCUAUGAAACUGUAAUAAAAAAUGUGGAAUAUCUAAAUGAAACCCAGUAAAUUUCACCUAUUACUAAAUUUUGGCACUAAAAAAGAACAAAGAAAAAAUCCAAUUUAAAGUACCAAGUGAAUACAAUUGAAGAUUUGUAAUUCUUUCCUCAACCACCAAAAAAUAUUUUCAUGCUUAUCAAACGAUAGAGCAGUAGCAGCAAUUACGGGAGAGCAACUCAUCCCAUUGGAGCUUGUUCUAACUGCUAAGGCUUCCAUUAUCUGCAAUAGGACGCACUUUUAUGCAUGAUUUUUCCCAUAUGACGUUCUUUUUUCUCCAUGACUGCACUUUGGAGUUUGGACCAUGAUUCAGAAAUCAGAACCCACAAAAAGUAUUGAUGCGAUAUCUCGACAGAAACAGUAAGCUCCAAAAUCAGUGGAACAAUCAAAGCAAACAAAAAUAUAUAUAUCAUCAUAACAAAAACUAAAAUCUAACUGAAAUAUUGUAGAAGAGAAACACAAAUCAAUUGAGACUUGAGAGGCAACUGAAAGUAGAAGAAUCAAUCCCAGACCUUACCGUGAAGAACCAUUGCCCGUCUCCAUUUUACAAUAAAAACAAUCUCGCAUAUUAGGAGUCUAAGUUCAAUAAACAACUACUAUGAACUAAUCCAUUUAGCCAGUACAUUUAAAUAAGAAAAAUACAAAAUCAUUCAAAGAAAUGAAAGAAAAUAUGAUCACCAAUGCAGGCACCUAAGAGUGACCAAUAACAUUUUAAUAGAAAGUCACAUACCUGAAGUCUGGAACCUGUGUUUGUAAACACCAGCUUUCCACUUGUCCAUAUAUCUUUCAUAUUGUUGUUGGCUUGUUGCCAAGAGAAUGGAACGACAGAGAACAAAGUUGAUCCAAUCAUUUCAUUCAUCAAAUGCAAUACUACUUCAGACAGUAAACCCAUUAAAUUUAAAUUGAUGAACAGAUCAAGUGAAAAUGGUUUGGGAUAUGAUCAAAGUUUUUGAUAAAUUAAGAUCAAUGGAAUAAGGAAUUAAAGGAAGUCCACAAAUUGAGUUUAAGAGACAGAUACAUACCUCUUUUCUUCUGGCCGAGUUUGAUCCCCAUCUUUCUUCUUUGCUCUUUCCCACUUAAAUCCUCAUCUUCCCUCUUUCUGUGUUUGAUUCUCCUAAUGUAUAAACUGUCUUCAAUAUGUAAAAUCAAAUAGAGCCCAGUUGAACUUCAUCAAAGAACCGUUCAGCAAAGCAUAUAUAUGAAAUAUCUUAAAUAAAAAUAAACAUUGACGAAGAUGAAUGAAAGAAAGAACUUUUUGUGGAACUUCAAUGGCAAUUCAGUUAACAAAAACAACUAAUCUCUACUGCAAUAACAAAACAAUCUUAUGAGGUGAUACUGUACCUCCCCUCCUUGAAAUGGAAACUUAUUCCAUGACUGAGCCGGCUGAUCCGUUUUCAAUGUUUUUUUUUUCCUAUUUUUGAGACUGAUUUUGGGUACGAUUGGUCCCUCGUUUUAUAGGAAACCGUAUCUACCCCGAUAACAUCCCCUACCCCGAUAACCUCCCACAUCUUCCCCAGUCUCCGCUGGUGUCGUGUUCGUGCGGCUGCAGUUAUCUUUCGCCUGCAGAUCGUGCACAGGGUUAUUUAUUAUUUAUUUUUUUUCCAAACCUUCCGUUUAUAUAGUUGGUCUGACUUUUUUGUUAUUUUACAAUAUCAGCCCUUAUAUUUGUUUGUCUGAGUCAGAUGAUUAAAGGGCAGAUCAGACGGUUCAUAAUUUGGUGAAUUUCUAAACGCCUGGCUUUAUUGUUAGGGCCAAUUACAUAGAAGUCCAUUUUGAGACAUUUUUUCUCAUAUAGGUCCACCUAAACAUUUUUACCCACAUAAGUUCAUCCAAGCCUAAAUAGAGUCUUAUAUUAGGUAUUAAAGUUUAAUAAAAUUACAGAAUGUCAUCCAACCAAAAAAUUAGAUUUUCUCUCUUAUAUUUAUAAAAAUACCACUAAUAUAAAAAGUCAACAAUCACAAAUGGUCUCUGGCUGACCUUUCGGCGAGGACUCCGGCCGACCUCCGACGAAUUUUCCGGCCAACCAUUUGUGAGGAUUCUAGCGACCACAAAAGCUACUACUACUGACAACAAAAGAUACUAUCGCCGACAAAGAAAGCUACUACCACUGACAACAAAAGAUAUUACCGAUAGCAAAAAAAACUACUACCACCAGCAAAGAAAACUACUACCGAUAGCAACUAAAGCUAUUACCGAUAGCAACAAAAGCUACUACCACAAGCAAAGAAAGCUACUACCAUUAAUAACAAAAUAUACUACUGAUAGCAAAAAAAACUACUGCCACCAGUAAAGGAAGCUACUACCGAUGGCAACAAAAGCUAAUACCACCAGCAAAGAAAGCUACUACCACUGACAACAAAAUAUACUACUGAUAGCAAAAAAAGCUACUGCCACCAGCAAAGAAAGCUACUACCGAUAGCAACAAAAACUACUACCGAUAACAACGGAAGCUACUAUCGCCAGUAAAAAAAGUUACUACCACUGACAACAAAAUAUACUACUGAUAGCAAAAAAAGCUACUGCCACAAGCAAAGAAAGCUACUACCAAUAGCAACAAAAGUUACUACCGCCAGCAAAAAUGCUACUACCGCCACCAACAAAAGUACUACCACCAGCAACCAAAACUACUACUGCCACCAAUAAAAGCUACUACCAUAACCCACAAAAUAUACUACAACCACCGACAAAAAUACUAUCUAAGUAAUACAAAAUCUACUCGAUCUGUCAAAAUAUACUAUUACAAUGACAAAAAUGUACUGCAACUGUGUUGAAAAUAUACUACACUCUAAGACCUUUACAAAUUUGAAAUUUCGAUUGCAUUCAUCUCAUACACUAUCGGAACACGAUCACAUUAUUUCUCUUCCACUGAAUUUCUAUCGAAUGAAGAGCAACAUCAACACAAAACAUCACCCUACUCUUUGUUUACAAUUUCUCAAAACCAAAGGAAAUAGACUCUAGCCAAAUUACAAACGCAUCUUACCAUGCAAUGGACUCAAACACUAUACAAGCUACCAAGGAAAACUAUCAAAUAUACAUGGAGAAAUCUGAGGGCAGAUAAUCAAUGUAGGAUCGGAGCCGACCUCUUGCCAACCUCCGGCAGACCGCUUCUGAACACUGAAAAUUGAAACCCUAAGAUGACGUCUUCGCCGUCGACAGUGGAUUUGCCACCAUGAAGGUCAACGACGAGAUCGGGAGAAAGAUCCGACAGAUCUACUAAGGCGCAGAAGAUCUCUGCUUCAGUAGAGGAGGCGCGUGACUAGUCGGGCGCCGAGCAGGAGGUGGACGACGUCGUCGUCGUAAUCAGUUGGAUCUUGUAAAUGCGAUCGAGGUCGAAGAAAAAGUCGUCGAGGCAUCGUCGACGGUCGAUCCAGAUUCCAAAACUCACCGUCGAGGCGGCGUCAUCGUCAGAAAUGCAAUCGAGGAUGACAGAAAAUCGUCGUCGAGGCGGCGGCGGCUUCAUCGUAGCGACGGCUUCAAAAUCAAAGGUGGAAGAAUGGAGAGAGAGAGAGAGAGAGAGAGAGANNNNNNNNNNNNNNNNNNNNUUCUAUUAUUGUUAUUGUAGUAGAGAUAAAGGUUUUGAGCAUGACACAUCACUCUUAAAUUAAUUUAGGUUAACCCAUGAUUAACUUUCGUAAACUGCCGUCAACUAAGUAAUCUAAAAAAAAAAACAGAUAAAAAGCAGACGAUUUAUCGUCUCCUGUUGUACUGCGUCUGCUGUCUUGCUUCUGUGCUGUUCUUUUGUUCCUCUGCGCGACAAUGGAAACUCGUCCAUGGUUACAAGAAGGCACAAAUACAAUCAAGGUCAUCGAGGCACAGAAGAAAGGGUUAAGUUCCUUUGAUGUGCAAGAGUCUGUUCAUUCCUUUUUAUUGUCUAGUUUGAGGGGAUUUCAUUUAUUCAAACAUAUAACUUUCAGAUCAUGGGGUAUGCGAGACUCAAAGAUCGUUGCUAAACUUUGAAAUCAACUGUUUGAUUCUUUUGUAUUUGGGAUUUUUGUAGCGAGUUCUAAUAAUGCACAUAAGAUGUUUGAUGAAAUGACAAGCUCAAUUUUUUUAUAUCGAAUUCAAAUUUUGUUCAUGUUAACAUAAUAUGAUUUUUGGUAUUAAUUGACAAAAGCCAUAAAGCUGAUUUUCAUAUGUACUAAUUUCAUGUUUAUCUGGUACUCGAUGACCCUCUUUUGCGCACGCAUACCUGACUGUAGUAAUUUGUCAAUCUCUUCGACUCUUGUUUGCAUACAUUUUUCUGACCCCAAAACCAGUUCGGCCUCCGUAGUUCUUCCGAAAUUCAAAUGCAGCAUCUAGGGUAUCAAAUUGCAUCCCUAUUCGAGGAAUCCAAUCAAGAGACUUACUGAUGCCCUCGUAUAAAAUAUUUCUUGGAUGUCAUCCGUCCCACUUCGUAAGUAUUAAAAGAACACAAAUAAGAACUAUAAGAUACUAUGGUUAAUAAAGUAUCAAGAGGUCGUUGUAAAGGAGGAACCUGUUUGCAUUUGUGCCUUCUUGUAACCAUGGACGAGUUUCCAUUGUCGUGCAGAGGAACAAAAGAAUAGCGCAAAAGCAAGACAGUAGAUGCAAUACAAUAGAAGAGAUGUUAAACCCUUUGUUUUUAUCUCUUUUUUUUUUUUUUUUUUGGUUACUUAGUUGACGGCAGUUUACGAAAGUUAACCAUAUGGGUUAGCCUAAAUUAAUUUAAGAGUGAUGUGUCCUGCUCAAAACCCUUAGAUUAGAUAAAGAGUGUGGAUUUAUGAACUUAGACUAACUUUACGGGCUCCUCACUUUAGAGGAGCCGGAUCCGUUUGGUAUUUUUCAUUUCAAAGCGGGUUUGUCUGAUUUGUUGUGGAGGAUGUGCCCCCAUGCUACUGGUUUUUCAGUGUUUCAUAUUGUUGCAGAAAAAAGAAAAAAAAGAAUAUGGAUUAUCCUUGACGAAUGAUCCCCAUAAUGCCACGCAAUUUCUCAACUUUUUUCCAUCAAUUUCGAUUUACCAACGUUUUAUGGUGUCAAAAAAUAUUUUAGCGGAAAUUUAUUAGAGUAAUUUUUAGUAGAUUGGUUUUUUAGCUAUUUCGGAAAGUAUAUCAAAAUGAUCCUAUCUCGUUAAUGAAAGCAGUCACAAAGAUGAUGAAUUUCACUCAUUACACACAAAGAUAACACCGUUAUACAUUUCUUUGUCAUUUAGUCUAUUUUUAUAAAAUGAGCAUAAGACGAUCCAAUUUGCAAAUCGGUUGAUUUGCUAAAUUUGGAUCAUACUGUACUAAUACUAAGAUCACUUGAUCAAUAGCCUUUGAAUUUAAAUUCAAAUAGAACUUAUGUGAUCCAUUCUGAAAAAACUGAUAUGGGCAUUAGAGAUUCAUUUGCAUAUACAAAGCCUUGGUAGGGAAUUCAUUUGCUAACCCAAAUAAAUUGAAGAGCAAGUAGAAGUAGUAACCAAUACUUUUGAGGUGACGGUCGGUAGCUAGGCUUCAUAAUAGCAGAUUAGCAGGCUAGCAGCUAUCUCAUUAUGUAUACAAUGUUUUUUUAACAAGGAAUUAAGAAUGACUUGAACAUGACAUGUUUUUCUUUUACGACAAAACAAAACAUGAAAACAAACUAUAACACCUACAAAUGCUCGAGCACAAUAUAUAAAUUUUUGGAUUGACCACAUAAGGUCAAAUACUCAAAUCAAUAGAUUUUGCAAGUCCUUUUACAAGUUUCAAACGCAUCGAACUUUGAUACACACUUUCAGGAAGGUAUUAGAUUCAACAUCAAACUUGUUUGAAUCAUCUAAAACAUGAUCCAAGUCUUUUUUUUUUUUUUAAAAAAAACUUUUUAUUAAAUAACUCACACACUCUACAUAUGUCAAUGAGAUUUGAACCCAUGACGUCAAAGUUGUUAGUUAACCACCUUAACCAACCACGUCACGGCUCACCGACAAAACAUGAUCCAAGCUUAACUAUUUAUUACAUGACAAUACAAAAUUACAAACCAAACUUAUAUGCAUCUUAUAUAUACUAAUUAAUCUCACAACAAUAGACAUAAUUCAAACUCUAAAGACACCAACAAACCCAGGAACAAUACCGGCCGUACUCUUCAACAAAGCCCCAGCACCAAAGGGCAGUCACAUGAAAAGCACCCGAACCAAAGGAGAAUGAAACAAUGUACCCCUCAAAAAAGCCAGAAAUGCCCCAUAUUGACCGCCUUCAGUGCAUUUUAUUCUUUGAUUUUCUUAUCUUCUCAAGUCUUCCUUUGCCAACGAGCUACUCUCACUGCGAUGGCCGAUUCUACCCUCUCUUGUAUGUUAUCAAAGAAUCGGAAAUAGGCAUACCUCCAUGAUUUCUUCAUAACCAAUGUGCCACAAACACUCCAAAACCCUGUGAUGAAGCCAAGUGCACCCUAACAUACAUACCAAGCUUCCCAUUAUCUUCAUUAUCGUCGUCAUUAUGACCAUCAUCAUCGUUGGGGUCAGCUGGUGCUGGUGCGGCGUCUCCCAGGCAGAGAGUUGAAAGAGGAACCCCACACAAGGAUGGAUUACUCUCGUAAAUGGAUGAAUCAUUGAGUGUUUGAAGUUGGUUACCUAAAGAAUUCUUCCGGACAAGUUGUUGUGAGACAAGUCCAAGUGAGACAAAGAGGUUAAUGAAGAGAGACUGUGUAGAAUAUGUCCGGAGAGGUUAUUGUGCGAGAGAUCAAGAGUUUCCAUCCAUUGCAAGUUUCCAAUCUUUGAGGGAAUAUUUCCGGUCAGAUGAUUUCUGAACAAGUUCAACGUCCCCAAGGCAAUAAGGCUGCUUAUACCUUUAGGGAUUUCACCAUCUAAGUGAUUUGAUGAGAAAUCAAUGGUAUUCACCAAAGGCAGAGUCUUGUUAUACACCAGUUCUUGUCCCUUCAAUGUCAAGGUGGUAGCCUCAAGAAAAUCCGAAAUAAAGGACCGAGUAACACCCGGAUCAGUGUCAUUACCAAAAGCCAAAGCAGUCAAAUUGUACAAACAUUGGGGAAUGGUCCCUGAAAAGUUGUUGCGGCUAAGAUCAAUGACAUGCAGAGAUUGAAAAGAGCACAAUCGAUUGGGAAUAUGUCCGCUUAUGGAGUUCGAUCGCAAUUGGAUCCUACGUAAGUUGAAAGAGAGGGUGAGGUACUAGGAGCUGAUGGAGAUGAUGGUGAAGUAGUGGAUGAUACUUGAGGGGCCACUGGUGAGGUGGGAGAGUUGUAUGGUCUGAUGGAAGAAUGGGAGGGAUCAAGUGACAUAGUGUGUGAUGAGAAAUAAAACUCCAAGAUCUCAGUCGCGGCGUUAUGUGCAGGAGUAGCAGCACUAGUCUCUCGAAAAAAACAAUUUUCAUUAAAGAUGACAUGUUUGGACAAAUAGACUCGACCUGUGGACAACCCUAGACACCGAUAUCCAUGAUGAUUGAGAGUAUUUCUGAGCCUGAGAUACGUUAAUUCAGUUUGAGAUCGAAGCCACAUCCCAAAGGCAGGACCUACUCUGCAGUCAACAAUAUCGAGUAAAUCAAGUUUGAAAGGAGGAACCCAGUCAUGAGCCACAUUCAAACUGAGGGAGAAAGGUUGCUCUGUGCUUAUAGCAAAAGACUCUACCUUUGUGAGAGUUUGGAAAUGGAUUCUGUUAAAAUGCCUUCCCACGAAUUCAAAGAUAGAUCUAGGUCAACUAGUUGUCCCAAACUUGCAGGAAUGGACCCAUUCAUAUGAUUCCUAGAGAUGUAUUGUACAUGCAGAGAGACUCAGCUUAAUAAAGGAGAACGAAUAGGUCAACACUUGCACGUCCUUAUACUCAGAGCAUAAAGAAUGGCUGAUAGGGGCAAUAUUUUAUAAACCAUUAUGCUCAGAAACAUGGUACAAAAUAGACCACCGCAGAUGGCAAUACUUUUGACACAAACCUCCUUCCGAGGCCUCAUCUCUUCUUCAUUCUGGAGCCUACUGCUGCUGUGGUGUGGAUUCAGCUGCUUAUGCUUUCCCUCCAGUAGAAUCAGAUUUUGCUUGUGAUGCUGCCAUUGCUACAACUUCACCAGGAGGUGGGUGGUCAAAUCUGCAGGAUGCGGCAUACUUGCAUGUGCCAGUUUUAAGGUAGUACACACAUAUAACAGCACCCUGUAAAAAAGCUCCACCCUAGUUAUAAGAUUUCAUCAUAAAAGAAUAGAUAUAGUAAAAUGCUAUGCAAUAGAAAACCCUGUCACUUCUCCCUGGAAAAAAAGGUUUCGACUGCUAACAUUCCAUUUCUCCCCUCACUAUCCGACUAUCGUGCAAACCGUAUACUCAUAGUAUUCAUAGCUUUACGAGAUAAGUGCAAUAUGCGCAUGCUGAUUCAAAUACUAAGCACAAUGUAAUCAUUCUUAUUAGGAAUAGGCGCAUGCUUUUCAAGUUUUAUGGAAUAUACUGGUACCCUGCUUAAAACAAGGAUUUGUUAACCCUACUGAUAAAAAGACGGGAUGAUCCCAAUAGAGUAUAGCUCCA
RNAcentral lists this long non-coding RNA (50930 nucleotides) under Fragaria vesca (wild strawberry). RNAcentral describes it as "long non-coding RNA (FVES_LNC001203)". The record is from RNAcentral. Lineage: Eukaryota; Viridiplantae; Streptophyta; Magnoliopsida; Rosales; Rosaceae.